Molecule: long non-coding RNA, 64411 nt
Filed under: Citrus sinensis (sweet orange)
Lineage: Eukaryota; Viridiplantae; Streptophyta; Magnoliopsida; Sapindales; Rutaceae
Description: long non-coding RNA (CSIN_LNC001156)
Source: RNAcentral
UGAUAUGAACUAUUUUUAUUUUCUUUUAAGCUUCAACAAUGUUGUGGCUUCCAUUCUGUUGCCAUUCUUGUGUUGCAUGAUAUUGUAAUUGACAUGCAGUACUCCUGUUUUUGUGUAUGAUGUUUUUAGUUUAAAUUGCAAAAAAAAAAAAAAAACUAAGUUCCGUUAGAAGUUUUAAGCGUCAAUUUACCCAAGAAUCAUGAAUACUGGCACACUGAUGCAAGAUAUGUUACUGUUUCAUUUAUCUUACAGCUAUUCUCAAUGAUUUCUUAUGAGAAAUAUUGUUCCUGUAAUAUACUUGGUAUGUCUAUCCUGUCAAAAAGGUAUUUCUCUCCAGCCAGGAAAUGAAGACCGGCCUCUUGGACUGUGGUAUAUUUGACACAUAUAGGUUCUGUUAUCUGGCAUGAUACUGGGGGCACCGUGAUAUCUGUAUUAGCUGUGUGGUGUUAGUUUUGUUUCAUAUUGAUUGAAUAUUUCUUUGAACAAGCAGCUUUUCACAUGCAACAACAUCAUGAGCUGAUUUCAUUUUGUUUUUCCAACAAAUGGCAGCUCUUGCGGGAAACUAUGUCAACUUUGGCGUGUUUGAAUUGUAUGGUGAUAGAGCUCUCUCAGAUGCACUUGACAUUGCUCUGAAGAUGACCCUCUCAAUUCCUUUGGCUGAUAUAUUGGCUUUCAGGAAGGUAUGGAACAUCUAGGGAUCGUUUGGUAUCAAGUUUUGAUUGCCGUUUGAUUGUUUCUGUACAAUAGUUGCUAAAUUUUUUCUAAAAAGCUUGUAUGAUUGUUUGUCAUUAUGGAUGUCAAAGAAAUAUGUUGGGACCCACCCGAACUAGAUGAGAUUAGUGUUAAAAUUUAAAAUAUUGAGGGAAGAGAUGGGUUUCGGCAUAGACCCAGACCCAUUUUGAUGUUGAGCUGAGGAUCCUAGUUGACACCUUGACCUGUCCUGGUUUUAUAGUAAUAUAUAUUACUUUUUUUAAAUUUUAAUUUUAAUAUUUAACAUCUUAUAAAUUAUACCACUUCAAUAAAUUGAAUCUAGAUUCUUAGACCUUGUGCAUAAGUAACUCCUCUUUCUUCCUUACCCGAAAAAUAUUAUUGAUUCUUUGGUUUUUUUCAUUAGGUUUAAUCCCAUAGCUUUCUAAAAUUAUUGUUGAUUUGAAAUGAAAAAUUGUUGUUUUUUCGGAUGAAUUUGUUUUAAAAAUAAUAAAGAAAAGAUUCAAUUUAAUAAAUAAUUCAGCUUUUUAUUUAUUUAUUUUUAUUUUUUAAAGAAGGAAAAGGCAAAAAAUAAUUAAUAAGAGAGCAGUAGGAUGGGGUGGAGUCCACCUAGCCAUCUUCCCGCUUGAUUUCAAGUUGACCAUAUAAGUGCUAUUCUGCGUGCAUAAUAUUUUGGGGAUACAUAUUUUUUAGAAUUAAAAAUGGAGAAAUGUUCCAGAUCAAAUAAUCACCUUUUGCAAAAUCUUUAACUCUUAUCUUUAAUAUAGGGUUGUGAAGUCUUGUUGGUCCAACUGGAUCUCUUACAUUAUAUGAAAAUAUCUCUAAACCCAGUGAUGUGUGUGUUUGAUCAUAACAGCUGAAUGUCCAUUAGUUUAGACCAAAUUGGACGAUCCAUUUUGCUCUUUCUUGCUUCAAAAAGAAUGGGCUUUAUCAUAGUAUCUUGUCCCUUGACUGUUGAAAUUUUAGCUGGUUGGUGUUGCCAAAGAAAGGAAAACGAGUUAAAUGCCAAAAAAUAGGAAGAAACUUCGGGCCAAGUCUAUACUUUUGGGAUGGUUUUCAAUUAGUUUAUUGCUUUUGUUUAAGGAGCUGUCCAUCAUACGUACGUAAAGAUCUAGUUAGGACAGGUUCAGGUUCUUCCUAAUUUUUGUGGAUUUUUGGGGGGGGGGGCGGCGGGGGUGUAAAAUCUCAUUUCAUUAAUACAAGUUUUCUUUCUUUCUUUUCAAAAGGAAAGAAACAAAGGGUAAAUGGUUAAAUGAUAUGGUUAGUGUAAUACAUCAAGAUACUGAUGGAGUUUUUCUCGUUGAUUUAUUUUCUCCAUUGAGAAAAUGUUUUCUCUUGCCAUAGUGCAUUACAAAGUUACAAUGCUUGGGUCCACAUAGGAUUUGUUGUUUUGUUUAUUUCUUUUACAAGAGCCAGUUCUUUAAUUCCAUUGUUUUUCUUGCUUGUUGAAAUUCUUGGAUUAGAUACUUUUACAUACAACUGGAGAUGAGAAAACCUGGAAUGAUUGGAAAUUGGUUUAGAACUGAGGAAAUUGGAGCAGUGAAAUUAUGGAUUGAUGUUCAGUUUAUUUGCAAAACGUGGAAACUGAAUGAAAGAAAGUGAUAAAUACUAGCCCUAUUCUAAUAGAAUUCAUCUCUGUAAAGGAAAGGUAUCAUCACACGCAGAUUUUGUAGCACCAAAACAAUGAAACUUUUCUUUUUAUUAUUGUUCAAUAUAUUUGAAAGAAGUUAUUUAAAUGCUCUAUAGACUUGUGAGCAGUUAACUCUGAUCAUAAGAAGUCCGGACCAGUGAAAGUCCCACUGCAUUAACACUGCUAACUUGCCAUUCUUCACAACCACAGCACUUCAAUACCAACAAGACACUGCCGCCCCAAACCCGAUCGCUUUCCCGAACCCCAGGGAGAAGAAGAAAUGUCCCAUUGCAUUAACAUUUCUGCUAUUGCCAUCUUCGUAAUUAUUCAUAUUUGAAAGUUUGAAACUGCUGGUCUCACGUCAUCAGCCACUAUUUUUUACUUCACCAUUGCCAUUCCGCUCGUCUUGAGCUCUAUAGACAGUACUUGGUGACUGACAUCAUUUGACCUCUGUUCUCACUAAUUAUAAAGAUUUUCUUCUUAUCUUAAAGGUUUUAUUUUCUCUGUGCCUUGAAUUACUUACACAGUGGUUGCAACCUCCAAAUCUGUUCACUCUUUACCCCCAAAAGAAGAAAAAUUACUGCAAACAAUGCCAGAGUUUUCAGAUUUACAAAAGAAUUAUGAUGAUGACGGUGUCAUUGCCAGAGCAGUCUUUCAAUUCUGGACAAUGACAUCGGGGCAUAAAGAUAGCUAUACUUUCUUGGGAUUUUGUCAUAUUAAUGGCCUGUUAACAAUAAGAUAUUUAGAGCAAUGAAGUCAAGUUUUCACAUUCCUUAAACGAUGGAAGUAUAUAUGGUGUGAAAGAUACCUGAAUCUAUUAAUAAUAAUGCUUCUAGGAUGAUUUGGAGCAAGUUAAAUGUGUAUACUUGGUUCCUUUAAUGAAUCUUUUUGAUUGCAGAUUACUUUGUUGUUUAGUUUGUAUAGUUUCUGUUUCUUUGCAGUUAACGAAGGCCUACUUUGCAUUCUUGGAGGUUUUGUUCAGCAGCCACAUCACAUUUAUUUUGAAUUUGAAUACAAACACCUUUAUGCAUAUAGUUGGUUCCCUUGAAUCUGGUCUUAAAGGUCUGGAUACGAAUAUCUCUUCACAGGUAUGUAUUAACGUUCAAUCAGAUUAUUUCUGAUCCAUCCUCUCUUUCCUUUGAAGGUGUCUUGUGUUAAUUUUUUGAAUGAGGUUUCCUUGAUGUCUUUUGAUGAUAUGGUCCUUUAGCAUUAAUUUUUUACUGCUGUCCAGAGUACAUUUAGACCAUGUUUGCAACCUUUUAGGGUGUUCUUAUUUUCAUGAAUGACUUCCCUAGUUUGCAUCCUUUCUUUGUAAUAAAAGUUUCUUUGUUUCCUGUCAACAAAAUUAAAAAAUAAAAUAAAAUAAUGCAAAGUAGUAUUUAAACUUCCCCCCCUCUCUCUCUCUCUCUAUCUUCCUCUUUCAUUUUUGAAGUGCCAAGAAUUAGUUGGUUCAGUAGAAUGCAAAAAGUAUGGUUUUUUCUUUGGUGAUUUUUUUUUUGGGCCCCCCUUUACCAGAAUUGCUAGUUGAUAAUGGUAAACUUCCAUUCUGUCUUAUGAAUAGGACUAUAGGAGGUAAGGCAAAUAGAAUGGGUUCAUAUUCUAAUCUUGUGUAUUUCUACAUAACUAAGUGAAUGUAUAAUAAAUACAUGACCUCUCACUUUUAUAAAUCUUCAGUCUGAUUAUUAUAGUUAAUGUACCCCUGGCAUCGGAUCAUAUCAUAAUGGAUCUUUUGGGAAUUUGUUAGAAUUUUCUUUUAUCUUCAACUGGGAAAAAAAAAAAAGAUACAGGAAAUAAUAAGAGAAAUAAAAAAUAAGAGACAAGAUAGUAAAGAAAUGGAUUAUCAUAUAUAUAUUUGAUCAAGAAGGAUCAAUAAGCAUUUCAUUUGGUUCUACAUUUCUUGAGCUUAUAUGCAGGUAUAUGCCCAAAAGUGGCACCAAGUUAUCUGUUUAUGUCCUUUCCGGUUUUCAUUGGAAUGUCUUGUUUCAGUGUGCUGCUGCUGUGGACAAUUUGGCUGCUUUCUAUUUCAAUAACAUAACUAUGGGGGAAGCACCCACCUCACCUGCUGCAAUUAAUCUCGCAAGACACAUUGUAGAGUGUCCCACUUUGUUUCCAGAAGUAAGUAUAGAGUUGUUUAUAUAUAUAUAUAUAUAUAUUAAUGUUUACUAAUAGAAACAAGAUAUCCAUUGUGAUAAAAAAUUAGUGGCAUACAUAGUAAAGCAGUUAUCUACCUCAAAAUACCUGAACAUGGAAAAAUAGAAAAUAAGAAAAAUAGAAACAAGAGCUAAGAUCUUAAAAAUCAAAACCAAAACAGCAUUCCAAUUUAUAAUUUUAUAUAAAAGCCCCCUUUGUAAUAGCCUCUUAAAAAAACCUUUAAUUUUUGUCCAUCCAGCAAAGUUAGAAAUAGUCAACACACCAUCUCCUUGUAACUUAAGCCAAAAAAAGCUAAGUGAAUGAUUUCUUUUGUUGUGUUUUUAAUUCAAAGCGUCAAAAAAGCUUUUAUUAAUGACUAGAGGGUGAGCAGGAUGUCAACAGAAACUAGGAACAAGUGGAAGGAGCUCAAAAAGAUCUAGACUGUAUAAAUCAGCUCUUACAAUAACUAUAAGCAACUGACAAAUCUGAAUUAAAACACAAAAUGACCUGAAACUCCUCAGCAGCUUUAGUGCAUAAAGAAAUAUGAGGUACCCUGGAAUCAGCUCACUCCACAAAACUUUCGCAACUUGUCUAUUACCCAGGAUGUGAAAGUGUUUCAUGAGAAAAGAGCUUCAGUGUGCUGUAGUGAUGCACCAAGUUUUCACACAUGAAUUAGUUUAUACCGCAAACUUAAAGCAAUGUUGCAGUGCAAGGACAAGGAUAGUCUAGUUAAGACUUAGAUUUCUCUAUCAUUUAAGUUCCUUAAACAGUUGGAGUGCCAGUUAACCGUAGGAAGCUGUGGAAAAGCUGGGUGAAUGGUUAAGGAACCAAUUAAUUUUAAGGUGCUGAGUUGGUGGAUGGUUUCUGAAAUGAGAAUAAAGAAGGCAUGAAUGUGGCCAAUAUGCUUUUGUUUUUUCUCUCUUCAUUGGCCAAUAUGCUUUUGUUUUUUCUCUCUUCAUUUUCUUUAUUUCAUUCCAAAUUCAACUAUACUUUGGGGGACACAGGCUGUUUUUUAUCUCUCUUUCGCUUUGUUUACAACUGAGAAUUUUGUGAAUUCCUCUUUAUUCUUCAUUUUGCAAAUGAGAAUGUUUUCAGAUAGUAUUAUGAUUUUCUGUUUGUAUUUCAUAUGUGCCGUUAUUCUUUUUAUGACUUUUAAUUAUUUAUCUUUGGGGGUGGAUUGCUGGUUCACCUUAGUUGUAGAACAAGUUUUUAUUGCUUAAAAAAGAAUUUUUUUUUUCCCUAAAGAAAUUAAAUUAAAUUAAAUAUAUCCAAAUUCAACUAUCUUGUCUGAAUUUUACUGGAGUUCGAGUGGUAUUUUUAAGUCAGAUGUAAUGUGACAAAAACAUUUACCUCAUAGUACAUGCCAUAGCCAAGAAGCAGCCAGCCAUUUCCAUAUGGCCUUUCAUCACUGGAUGACACUGAAUGGUUUGUAAAUCAGAAUGUGGAGUAUAUAUUCCAUAUAAAUUAUAUAUAUAUUUUUUUUGGGAAUUAUGGAUUGGAUAUACCCUGGAAAUAGGUACCUCUUACAUUAACUAUCUAGUUCCAAAUAAUGUCGUUAUAUGUUUGACAGGAAAAGUUCUAAAGCUAGAGUCUUUGACUGCAAACUCUUGAAAGUAUAGGUUUGUUCGUGCUAGAAGAUAUAUGAGCACUAGAAUGAGUUGAGUUUGGUGUUGAGAAUAUCUCUUUGUCAACUUGCUUUUCUGGUUUAUAUAUAAUUUUGCGAUGAUUAAUGUAACCAUGGUGCAUUUUAUAUUAUUUUUCCCCUUCUUUUAUUGCAGAUUUUUUGCUAUUACCCCCUUUUUUCUCAUAGUGCUUUCUUUUAUUGAAUCUCUGGGUGAACUAAUUUCUUCUCUAUACAGAUAUUGAAGACCUUAUUUGAGAUUGUUUUGUUUGAAGAUUGUGGCAACCAGUGGAGUCUAAGCAGACCUAUGUUAAGCUUAAUUCUUAUUAGCGAACAGGUGAUUGUUUAUAGCAUCUAACUACAUAAUUUUUCUUUUACUUCCUAUAUUACUCUGUACACUUCUGUAUCAUAAAGAUCAGAUACUGCUAUUUGAAUAAUUGAUUUGUUUAAUAUAAUAUAAUUUGCCCAUAUAUGCUCCUCAUCGAACAUCAUAAAAUUCCUGUCAUUCAACAAUGGAAUGGCAAGUUGUAUUGGCUGUCUGGUAGUUCUUAUGUGUGUCAUUUUACAUGCUUCUGCGUUUGAAGUCUGGCAGGUUUGCAUACCUCAUGUCACUUACAUCUUGUUCCAAUAAGUUAACCUUUUUCAUAAUAAUUAGUAAAGAAAAUUUGGAAAAUGAUUAUUAGGUAAAGCGGUUGGACAAUUUAUGAUUUUUCUUAGUUGGUUCAGAUGACCAUGCAAGACCUCAAAUCUAGUUUUUUAACAAUAUAAGAUGAUGACUGUUUAUACAAGGCUUAUGGUAACCUAUAGUCAUAGUCACAAACCUUGGUAUGGUAGUUACAUGACCUCUUAAAAUGGAUGGGUAGAAUAGCAGCACAAGACAAAUUUGUAUGCCACAUGACAUGCAUGUUUUAUAUGCAUUCUCGCUACUGUCUUAUUCUCUACUUGACUGUGAGAACGAAAAUUUACCUGCAGGUAUUUUCUGAUCUGAAAGCUCAAAUUUUGGCUUCACAGGUAAGUUAAACAAAACUAUUUAUAUGUUGAAGGAUUGGUGGUAUCGAUUGCUUUUCCCUGUUCCAAUAUUGUCUAAUUCUUAACAUGAUUCAUUUGCCAUGUAUCUUGCAGCCAGUCGAUCAGCAUCAACGUCUCUCUGUUUGUUUCGAUAAACUAAUGGCUGAUGUUGCUCGAAGUUUGGAUUCAAAGAACAGGGACAAGUUCACACAGAAUUUGACCGUAUUUAGGCAUGAAUUUCGUGUAAAAUAGCUCCAAACCAUAUGUGCAGUAGCUACCCGUUUUGUAAAAUGGAAGUGAAAUGUACUGCUGAUGAUGUUUGAUUAAUCAAAUCCCUCUCUUCAAGCAAGAGCUUCAUGUCUUAAGUACUUCAAACUAUAGACAUGGAUUCUUUGGGUAUGGACAGGAGGUCCAGCACGGUGUUAGUUUUGUUGGCCCAGCUUGAGGACGGCAGGGAUUCUUCGCAGUCUGUUGGUGUGACAUUGGGUUAAGUUUUGAAUGAAACUUUUUUUGGUGGUGUUUUGUAGAAUUAUUGCAUUUGAAGGGGGCAGUGUACCAAAAGAAAACUUAGCAGACAGGUACUGCCAUUCCAAGAUGUGACUCCCAAGGGUAGGUUUGCAGAAGUUAGCGAUAGGGUGUGAAAUUUGGUUGGGGAUGGCCAAAAAUGCAACUGGAUUAAAUUCUUUUUAGAAGAAGAUAGAUGUAAAAAAAGAAAAUCAUUCUUAGGAGGCUUAUCAUGUUUGAGAGAUCAGGCCAGUGGGAAGUAAAUUGUCUGUAAAUUUAACCUCUACAUAAUUCUUUUGUAUCUGUUGAUAAUAGAAUAGAAAAGAGAGGAAAAGAAAAUUUACUUGAAUGUUGGCUCUUUUUUUUUGGGGGAAAUUUUCAUAUUAUCUUCACCCGUCUCAAUGCUCUUUUUGGAGACACCCACCAUCUUUAUUUUUACCCAAAAAUGUUCGCACUUUUAUAAUUUCCUCACAUCAAAUCCCCAAAUUGAACAGAAAUAAAACCUGAUCAUCAAACAUAGGAGAUUGGGUCAACCCAUCAGUUUGUUAAUGGUAUGUUACAAUACUAGACGGGUUAGAGAAUGGUCCUAAUAUUCUUCAGUGCAUAUUUGUUAAAUGUCUACAAUUAAUUUGUUUCGCAAUUUAAAUCAAACUUGUUCAUAAAAAACAUAGGAGCUUUUAUGAUUUCGAACCCAAGAGAAUCAAUCAUGAGCAAACAAUUGGGAUAUUUGUAUAUAUGCCAUUAUGUGUCAUUCAUCGAUUAAUUUGUAUGUUAAUAAUAAAAUCAAUUAAUAUCACACACACAACUAUAUAUAGUUAAUGGGGCCAUCAAUAAGUAUAUUAAUUGAGUAAACAUAAUAUUAUUGAUAAAUCAUAGGAUGAUGGUAUUUCCGCUUCUACGCUUAAAAAUGAAGCUUUUUCAAUUGAUUGCAUUUAAAGGUUGCAUUUGCAAAUUUGCUAUCCUUGAUGUUUACGUCUUAAUAGAAGUGUUUUUUUUAUCAUCUUAAUGGCUAUCAAUUCACUUAAUAAACGUGACUUUCUUCUUGUAAUUAGUUCUCCAUUACACCAAUGAAAUGCGCAGUAAGUCAGAACAUCAUAAUCGAGAAACAAUAACUGGCAAUGGACAUAAAGAAAAGUAGCAUUUAAUGGCCUAAUUCAAGUGAGGUUAUUUAUCAAAAAGCAGAAACUGCAAAGACAGUUAAAUUUGAUGAUUUCAAGUGCUAGUAAAUAACUGGCAACAAAGGUCACAACCUGGUUGUUUUACGCUAAUUACAUGGAAGUUUUCACAGAUGUGUUGGGAGUUGGGAUCACCCCUAUGAUAGGCUAUUUCAAUGUCUCAGUAUCAAAAGAUUUCCCCAUUCCCACAAAAGUGGAAAAAAAUUUACAAAGAUUUCAUCUACUGACAAUAAACCAAUCUAGGUUUCCAUCGAAAACCUUACCUUUUUACGAGAACUUUUACCUUCUUUCUCCAGGACUCUGGACUUCUUAAGGCAUGAUCUUAUGUUGAAUCCAGGCAAUUCUGUUGCACAUGACGGAGAGGAAACAAGAUUCUUGGAUUCUCUCUUAUCUUGCAAAGGAUCAAGCCAAAAUUUGACAUCUGCUUUACCAAAGGCAAUCUUCUUCCUCUUUGCAUAUUGGUAAGCCGCCAUUGCAUCAAGCUGGUGUAAGAAGACUACUUGAGCAGAGCCAGUGUAGAAGUAGACUUUUGUGUUCAAACAAUCUAUCAUACCAAAUGGACUAAACUUUUUUACCAGCUCCUCCUUGGAUGGCAGACUAAAAUCCUUUGGGAACUUCAUCAACAAAGAUCGAGAAACAGCAAGAGUUGGAACUUCUGAUUGUUGUCCCACUUUUGAAUUGACCGCUGAAGGAGUAACAGGUUUUAAGAGCUUCUUCUUCUUCUUAAAGCUGUACUUGGAUGGCACACUACUGCAAUGCAUCAUCUUGAGUUCGUCAGCAGUAGGAUGAGAAUGUAAAUUCCAGGUUCCUCUGGUUACAGUAAUUGUGUCAUUAGUAUGAAUUCCGAUUGUGUUAUUUGACAUGGAUUGAGCAGGAGGAGUUUGCAUCAGCUUCUCAGUAAUAUCAUUAGCAUAAGAUAUCAAGGCACUAUGAUUUUCCAUAAUGGAUCCACAAUCUUCUGGCUGCUGGACAUUGGCAGAAGGUAUAUGGGUUCCACGGUUGUCAACUGUCUGAACAGUUUCAUCUGGAUUCUGAACUGUAGAGAUUUCAAUAAUCUUCUGGUUGCUACAAUGAGAUGUUGUGCAUUUUAUUAGGGAAAGAUAGAGCAAAUUCAGAUCCAAGUCCUUCAAGCUACUUGCUGAAGUUUGAGCCACAAUAGCAGAGGGACUUUGAGUCUUGAAGUCCAGUUGGGAUCCGGAAAACAAAGACUUGAAUAAGUCUGACUCACAUCCAGUUAUAUUUCUUAGAAUAUGACCACAAGCUUCAGUGAAAGAUAAAGACAUAUUUGUUGCCAUGGUAUUGAAUAAUUCACAAAGACUGGAAAAAGCAUUUCCUAAAAUGGAAGUAUCAGAAAGAAUGGCUUUGAAUCCUUCAUUACUUCUCCAAAGAUAAGCAUCAGCUCUAUUUAAUGAGAAAGACAAAGAAUUGUGUAGCUCUAGAGGAGGUUCAAAAUCAGAAGAAGAUUGGUCAAGCUGCCUCUUUAGACCUAGGCAGUUAAUAGGGCUUUCCAGAGAAGGUUCAAUGGGAAGAGUAGUGUUCCCUUUUCCUCCACCACGAACCUUAAUGUCCUGCCGAAACAUAAUAUAGCCAGGAUUAAAAAGUCGAGCUUCAUCCCUUUCAAUCAAGUUGUCAGAGGUACAUUCACAGGACAGACUUCUAAAGCUAAGAAUGUUCAACUUCAAAGUAUUCAUACAUUCUCCAUCUAAAUAAAAUGUAUAUCUAGAGCAGCAAAUUUGGAGUUUUACCAUCAUGUCUUGAAAUGGUUGUAUCUUCUGUCGUUCAGUUUCACUCGUCGAACAGACUUCAAGCUGAUCUUUGCCCCAACGGCUUAAAGACACUUCUGGGGAAAUAUCGCUUAUGUUGCUUCCAUUGGAAGAACAAGCUAACAUGUUAUCUUCCCCUUUCUCAGAGAAUUCCCGACAAUCAUCGCCAGCAUCCAAAGCAGCUGGAUCUGCUUCUACACAUGAGCAGUAGGUAUUCACACAAAAGGAACUUAUGAAUAGCAAAAUCUAUUGUACACCUUCAUUCCUUCAUUCUACAGUAGCACCUCAAUUUCAAAAAUAUCCUUAGUAGAAUGCUAAAUCAAAUUAAGUUAGUAGAAAGUAAAGCUUCAAACUAAUUGACAUAAUUAAUCAAUUUGUUGUGUCAUUUAUCAAAUGAAUUUGAAUCCAUUGUCGGUCUCUUUUAUAUAAUUUUUAGUGAAAAAAAAAUUAAAAAUGAAAUAAAAUCGCAAACCAGAAGCUGGGCUGAAAAAAUGACGGCGAAAAGCAGUAAACUGAGCAAAGGCAUUAGCAGCGUCAAGAUAAUCGACAACUUCGAUCCAAGACGAAACCGCCGCGCUGCGAGCAAAACCCAAAACCUCUCGAGGCCGAAACAAAUCGGAACGACGCCGUUCUUCCAAGCUCGACAAAACAUUUUUGCCGGACCGCUUCAGGGCGCGAUUCAACAAGUCGUCGUUCGUGCACUUGCGGACGAGGGACUUGAAAUUGGGCUCGAAAGAAACCACUUCUGAUUCGAUGAAAUAUCGACAGCAAGGGCAGUUUUGGGAAUUAAUAUUUUUGUUGUUGUUGUUGAAAGAGAAGGAGACUAAGACGCCGAGAGAGUCUUGUCUGAUAACAACCCCAGGCCACCAUUGGUGAGGAUACACUACUCUUGCCCACACUAUCUCUCCCCUCUCAAAUUUUGAAUUUCGCUCCUCCUUCUCCAUAUUUUUCCUUUUCUCUCUAAUUUUUCUUCCCUUUCUUCUGUUCUGUUUCUGAAAUUAUUUACUCAAUUCAUUCAUCCCAUUGCUUUUAAUUUGGCGGGAAUUUUCCGAUUUGCCGCCGAAUUGAAUUAGAGAAAAUGGCUAUAAUGGGCCGCCGCUGUGUAGCCCCACUCCAGCAGUCUCAACUCUAAACAGUAUAUAUUGGAGGAAUUUUAAUAAUUUCGUGACAUAACGGAUUAAUUUAUGUAUAAUAUGUGUAAUUAAAUUUAAUAUAAUUAUAAUUUUUUAAUAAUUUUUUAAAUUAAAUAUAUAUAUUUUAUUAUAUUAUUUACUUAUUAUAUAAUUAAUAUAGUACUUAUGAUGUAUUCUAAAAUUUAUCUUAUCAUACAUAUAAGUAUUUAGUAGGUGUAAUUUUGGAUUACUCUCCUCUAACUAUUUUUAAAUAAUUAUCCUUACUUUUAAAAUCUAAAUUUACCCCCUAUUUUUAGUAAAAAGACAAAAAAAAAACUCAUCAAUUCAACUUCAUUUUUUCAUUAUUUUAAUAUCUUUGACCAAAUUAUAGGAUAAUUUAAAAUUUUUAAAAAUAGGUAACGUAAUUUAAAAAUAAUCAAUUUAUAAAGAGAGUAAUUCAAAAUCCACAUUCUCUAAUUCUUCUCGUUUCUACUCUUUCUCAUUUUCUUAACAAGGACAAGACGCAAAAAACCAUUUGAAGGAAAUAUAACAAGUAGUACCAAAGCAGGUUCAUGUUAAGGGAGAAAUUAAAAAUGUGGCUGUGAUCAAGACCUAUAAGAAAAUCAUGGUUUACAAAUGUUCUUUUUUUUAAAAAAAAAAAUUCCAUUCUUGAAUAUAAUUAUUGAAAAUAGAAGUUUCAAAUUUAGAAUUAAUACAUAUAUAAAUCUCUGGCUUCUCCCUUGUUAAAAAUAUAAGAGCAGUAAAAGAGGUUACAUAAAUUAAGUAAUUAGCUCAACUUAUUAACAACAAUAUUGUCACAGCACAUACAUAAUAUUUUGUUUUCAUGGAUGUCUACAGUCUAUAAAAUAACUUAAAUUGAUUAGGCACAACAUAAACUUUUUUAUUGUCAAAUAACUUAAGUAGUUACCAUAAGAGGGUGAAAAUGUAGCAUUUUUAUUUAUUUAUUUGAAGGUAGUAAGUAUCAUAACCCCUUUGUAUUUGAGUGUAAGUAUUUUCAACUUAUAUUCGAGUAUAGGAAAUGUGUAAUUUUCCCAUAUUUUGUAUCAAAUCUUGUAUUAUAAAAAGGCUAAAUUUAAUUAUUUAUUAUUGUUAUUAAUUGGGAGCGAAUUUUCCCGAAUUGCCGCCAAAUUGCUGCUAAUUGGGCCGGGGUGUAUGGCCCAAUUAUUAGAGCACAUGCCCACAUGCUAUUACUAUAUUUUUUUUUUUUCCAAAGCAAAAAAUAUUACAUAGAGCAUAGAUUAUCUGAAAAUUUUCAACUACAGACUUGCAGCUGAUGUAAAUUGUAAAAUACAAAUCUUUGCAGCUGAUGCUUUAGUUUGCAACUUCUCUUGGGCAACUCUAUGGGACUGCUGCAUAUUUUAUAACUUGGAAGGCCAUAGCUUCGCUGCCACUUCAUUUUACUAUAAAUUUCACUACAUUGGUUCAAAUUUCUCCAAGGUUGUUUGAUACCCUCACUGAUGGCUAUCCCUUGUUCAAUUAAUGAACAUUUGUGUAGUGGCACCCCAGCCCCCCGAGGCCAAAAGAAGAAUAAAGUUCGCUAUAACAAUUAGUACAAUAUCUAUAAAAGACAGGAAAAAAAAAAUGUCUUAUUGUGAAAUUUUAUUUUGUUAUAUAGUAAUUUUUUUUUAUUCUGCAAUAAAAAUAAAUUAUUAUUAUUGGGUAGACUUUAGACCAUUUCGUUUCAUCCGGGAUAUCAGUAGUUUCCGAUUCUGGAACUCCAUUUUUGCAGUGGAUUUCAUAGUUUGUAGCUUAAUUUAUGCACCUUAAUUUUGUUAUAUUUAAAUAAUAAUUUUUGUGUUUGAUUGACAAUCAACUAAAUGUUUAAUUGGGAUUGAGGUUGGACAGCUGUAAGUUAAAAGUUACAGCGCUAAAAUGUUUGGUAAACACUAUCUACUAUACCUUAAAAGUCAUGUUAACAAAAAUUUUCACUUAUAUAGUAAAAAAAUAUAUUUUUAAUAAUUUUAUUAAAAUUAUUAUGUAAAAAUUAUAUUUACUAAAUACUAUUAAUUUUUCUUUCAUUAUUUUAUAUAUAUAUUACGGUUUAAUCCCAAAUAGAACCGAAGUACUUGUGUUUUCCUUAGUUUUUCAAAUAUCUUCGUGCGCUUAAAUCUAUUCAUUGGAAGCCAGCAAUCAUGUGGUCUCAUGCAAGAUUCAUGGAUGAGUCUUCCAACUUGGGAUCUUUGGAUUGGGUUUCGCUCAAUUAUUAUUAUUUUGUUACAUUACCUUUUUCAUAGUUUUUUUUUUUCAUUUUAUUAUUACUAUUAUUACCAUUAUUAUUAUCACCACCAAAUGGCCUUCUUGAGUCCAAAUCAGCUCUCAUCUGUUUAAACGCACAAAACUAUGAAAAUAAAAACGAGAAUAUUAAUGUAUUUUAUUCUAAGAACACCCACAUUAAUUAAGUCUAAAAUCACCCUUUCACGGUCUAAAAUUAACUUCUUUACAAAUUUCCUGUUGGCCAAAAAUAUGCAUGAUGUUUCAGUCUGUUGAUGAAUCUGAGUUAAAAGAGUGUUAAAUCUUCCCAGGUUUAGUAAAAUGCAGAUUCAGAGACUUAACAAAAAAUUCGAAUUGGAACUUAUUAUCAUAACCAAUUCCAAGACGAUAGAUACACAACCUCAUCAACAUUGGCAAUACAAAAUAAUUAUUAACACAGAAAAGCAGAAUAACUAUGCCGCGGCAGAGAUAAAAAAGGGGGGAAAGAAAAAAGGUAGUACACAAAGCCGGUUUCUUACAAUAGUGCAACUACUAGUUACAAUAACUAAAAACUACAAACAUCAUAAAAAGUGACCAGCAAAGUGCUCCAUGAGAUCACUGUCAACAGCCUCAGUGUGUCCUCCCUGGCUAUAGGUUUAGGGACAACAUACAGAGUUUUGUGCCUACUUAACUGGUGACAUUGCACCCAAUAGCUGGCGGCAGGCAGAGUUUCUUCAUCAACAGGAGGAAUUGACCACUACAUCCUAAGAAUUGUAUGAAAAGUUAAUUAGUCAAUGAUAUACAUGAAGAUAAGAAAUCAGAUAAGAAAUCGAGAGAUUUUCUCUCUUGUAGAUACAUUCAGUGCAUCUUGGGGGCCCAAAAAAGGCAGAAGAAGCUUCUUCAAGACAAUAGAUCAAUCAAAAUGGUAGUAUAACAAUGAAUUGGAGAAAUAAGACAAUAGAUCAAUCAAAAUGGCUUCAAUAUUGACUAGAAGAUGCAAAAUUUCAGCCUAACACGAAAUAUAACAAAAUGUCUAAUGAGUCUGGCAGUAUAACAAUACGCUCAAAUUAUUAUGAGCAGAAAUUCAGUCAUAAAAAUAAUCAAACAGAAAAAGUAUUAUCUAUUAUGACAAAAGUAAUACUUGAGCUUCAUGAAUUACUUUGUAUAUUUAAAGAAGGUAUGUCUGUCCGCCGUACAAAGAAUCAGUUUGCAUAGAAGAGCAAUUCAUGAACAAGCAAAGAUUUGUUGCUUCCAACAAUAUCAUAUAAAACAUUAUCUUGAGAAAAUUCAUAUUUAUAACAACAAUAUGUGGCCCAACUAACAACUUCUGCAUGCGUGCGUGCCACAUGGAUAAAAUUACUAGCAUAAUUUUGGCAUAAAUAAUUCAUAUUUGUUGUCUAAUAAAUCAACAAUAACAAAAAUCAUAAGAAUCUCUGAAAACAUCAUAUUUCAUGGUAACAAGUUCAUGAAAAACAACAUAAGUGAGAUACUGACCUUUUACAGUGCCAAGGUUGGCAAUACCAUUCUUUUCCACUAAUCAACACGCUUUCAACAUCAUCCAAAAUAACCUCGGCAUUUCAGUGUUCCGCAUAAGCAUUUCUUUUUCCUGUGGGGUUCAUAAUUACCCCCAUCAGACUUGGAAAUCCCAUAAUCAUAUGUCAACUCUGUCAUGGGAGGAACAUGUCUCAUUGCAAAAAAUGCAACAUGGACGAAGGAUUCAUUAUUGUUUUCAAAUAUAAUCGGCUGCCAGAAAACAUUUGGAGAGCAACUGUGAUUCAUGAAUCGAGCAACAUUCCCAACAUUCUUGGCACUUAUGACUAGGGGAUAUGGUAAGUCAUAUUCCUCAGUAGUGUCACUAGGAUCAUCAUCUUCAAUUAACCCCGGUUCAUAAUUCCACUUGAAUGAGUCAUAAGUACGGGUUGUAUCAAAAACAUAAUCUUCAUUACUGCCUUCCCCAUCUUGCCUUGCCUUAAAUUUAUCUACUACUUCACCUGCAUAUUCACAAAUGAAAGUACCAGCACGAAUAGGAUCCAAAGAUCGCAGGCCCCAACCCCUAUCUUUCGUUUUAAACACAUCCAACCGAACUUUUAGACCAGUCUGAGACACUCUGUUUUUGCAGUCGCGAUUGCAUGGACAUGAUGGACCACAUUCAUAUAUCAACGGCUUCCGACUUACUAGGACCCCAUUAGCAGUAUAUGGAAAAUCGCCCCCAUUUUUCUGGACACAAGAGCAAUUUGGAUUGCCUGGGCCACAUGCACUAUAACAGUUGCAGCCGAAAGAAGGCUGAGUUAAUCUGAAUGAUUUAGAAUACUUAACAGUGGUGAGAUAAGUGAAAUACGCAGGCCCUUUCUCAUCAUCAACAUCAUUUAUAAGUGCAAUGGGUAUAGCCUCGGCCCCAGACGAAAGGUCUGGAAGAAUAAGUCCAACCCUACCAGACAUGCCGUCCUUCCACCUCUGAAUCAAUUUCCAAAGAGCAAAAGCACCAGGCUGCCCAGGUAUUCUAACCAAUUUAUACUUGAAAAUAUUGCAACCUGACUUCCCCUUUUCAGUCCACGACUCUUGAACCAUAUAGAGUCCAUCAUAUACGUAGACCUUUGAAGAUUGGUUAAUAGCAUCUUUCAUUCCCCGAAUGACUCUUACUUCACUGGCUCGGCGCAAGCUCCUUUCUAAUGCAAGAUUACCCCUUUCGAGCUUCUGAUCAGCUGCUUGCUCACCCUUCCUAUUAGCAUUCCCACCCUGGCCACUAUAUAUCAAUAUAUCACUAUCCUCAGCAUCGUCAUCGUAUCCUCCGGAUGAUAUAAUGCUUACAGCCACUGGUUCUUCGUCUAAAUCACUCCUUGUAAUCAUAUAAUCAAUUCCGGCCAUGGACUGGGAAUGCAAACCGAUCAAACACAUCUCCAUCCGAAAGAAGAAAAUAUCACCAAUUUCCACACCUGGAACAACUCCAAGCCUCUUCCUCAUAUUGGUACGUACUCCUUUGCUCAUCAAUAUAUUGCUUGCUUUCAAAUCCGCACGCCUAAUCAACCCAGUAGAAGUCUCCUUAGCAUCCUCAAUCUGACUAAUUCUUCUUCUAAGGGCAUCAAAUCUCAUCAGCACAUUAUUAACAACUUGCCUAUUACCAUCAUCUCGCUCAAAUGAACUAAUCCCCACAGAAAAAUCCGAGUCCUGAGCAUUCUUGGGCCUCUUCUGCUUGUAACUAGAAGCACGACGUUUUUUCCCGUCUAGAAACCCAUCCGAAGACCCCAAAUCACCAUUAGACCCAUCCACAAAAUUAACAUCCGGUGACCUAAAUGACCGAAUGGGGGUAGCAAACGACGUUGGAGGUGUCUGUGUGUUGUUGUUUUGGUUGUUGUCAGGAGUAAAUUCCGGCGUACUAAAGGGGUAAAAUGGAGAAAACCCAGGUGGGAAAGGGCCAAAAGGAGGUGCACAAACAAAAGGAGGUGCUUGAGGACUUGACGGUAACACAGGUCUCAAACUACGCAAAGGUUUUACAUCCAACACUUUUGUUUUGUCUAAAGGAGCUGAAGGAACAGUGCCAUCCAUCACUAAAACAACCUAACUCAAAAAACACACUAAACAAAGCUUAAAUUCAACAAACCCAGAAUUAAACGCACUAAAUCUUUCUUUUUUCACAAUCCCAUUUCCUUAAAGAAGCUCAAUUUUAAUUUUUUUUCUCUGCAAAAAAUAAAGAUCAAACAAGUUUUAAAUGGUCCUAAAGAACAAGCAACUUAAACUGUAAGAUCUAACUUACCGAACUGACAAAAAAAAAAAAUUUCAGAUUAAAAUUAAGAGUAUUAUUAUUACCUCUGGAGAUUGCAUGUACCGUUAGUUGCUAGGGUUUGAACUGAGAAAUGGGGGGACUUUGGCUGCUAAGUCCAUUGAAAUGAAAAGCCUGCUUGCUCUCCGCCCAAUGCGUUUCACCUUUUCUAGUCCGUCCACUUCGAACUUGUUCUUACACUGUGCACAAACACGUGCUUCAUUAAUGCAUUCUUAAAGGUUGUAGGUUUCUUAACUAAAUCCGAUAUGCUUAAUCCGUGGUCUAUAUAAAUUUAAUUUGUAAAAAUUUAAUUCGUAGAUUAGUGAAUUAAAUAAAUGAUGUGUUUAUUUGAGGGUUUAGAAUAUAAAAAUAAAAAAAUAGAAUAAAAUUGAUGUUUACUUGGUAAAAUUAGGGGUGGGCAAAAAAACCGUAGUCUUAAAAAAACCGAACCGAACCGACGGUUUUUUCUAAUUCGGUACGGUUUUUUUUUUAAAAAAAAACCGAACGGUACAAUUUAUAAAAAAACCGAAAUGUCGGUUCGGUAUUCGGUUCAUUUAACUGAACCGAAAAACUGAAUUAUUUUUAAAUUUUAUUAAAUUAAAUAUGUGUUAAUUUUUAACUGAUUGUGUAAGAUAGCUAACAUAAACUUGCAUACACACAAUCAGAGUAUAUAUAUAUGUUAGUGUUACAAUUUCGUAAAUUUUUAUUUCCCAAAAUAAACCCUAAAAUCAAAUAUUAAAAAAUUUCGUAAAUUUCGUAAAUUUCAAUUUCUUGAAGAAUUUUUUAGGCUAAUGCAAUCUUAAGAACAACAGCAAGUAGCUGAGGAGUAAAUGAUAGUUGAUUGAUGUUGCUUACCAGUAAGUUUUCUUUAUUUUUUUUUAAACUAGCAUCUUAUUAUAUAGAUUGUUUAUUUAAUUAUUUAUUAAUAGUUAGUAAGAUAUUAUUGAUAAAAUGUGUUUUGAAUACUUUGUAUUUAUUGUUAAUAUUUGUAAUGAAAUUAGGAUGAACUUGUUGAAAAAAAUUAUUACAUUUAUGAAGUCCAAUGGGCUAAAAAUUUAAAAAUUCAAAAUAUGCCCAGAACCGAAAAAACCGAACCGAACCGAAAAGAACCGUUUGAGUUCGGUUCUUUUUGAGUUCGGUUCUUAUUCGGUUCUUUUUAUAAAAUAACCGAUUUAAAUCGGUUCUACUUAAUUUCGAACCGAACCGAACCGAACCGAACCGUGCCCACCCCUAGGUAAAAUAUAAUUUAGAAAUAUGAAUAAAAUAUGUGGGUCUCACACAAUUUAAGAAUAAAGAAUGAGAAUCUCAUUUCCAUGGGAGGUUGGUAAUGGGAAUUAUUAUUCCCUGAACUGAUUUUUGUAUCCCUCUAAUUUUUUCAUAUUUUCUAAAUUACCCUCGUUCAAAUUACAAUUAAUUUUAUUAUUUUAAAUGUUAUUAUUAUUAUUAAUUUUAUUUUUUAAUUAAUAACAUUUUUAUAAUGAAUAUUUAUACAUGUAUUUAGUUAAUGAAAAUUAUAUUAUUUAAUAUAUGGAUAUUUUGGUAAAUUGAUUCUCAUUUACAUUUCUCAUUCCCAUUUAUUUUGCUAAGUAAACACAUCAAUGACAUUCUAGUACAUUCACAUUCUCAUUUAUUUUUGCCAAGUAAACAUUAAAAUCUUAUUUUCAUUCCUUAUUAUGAUUCCCAACCCAUUCACAUUCCAUCCAAUUAUCAUUCUAUGAAGUAAACGCACCAUAAAUUAAAGAUUUAAAAAUCUACUAUAGGUGGAUUAGAUAUAAAUUUAAUUAUGUAAAUCCGCAAAAAUUUGCGAAUCCGCAAAAAAAUUUAUCUAAUAAAAAAUUAAACUUGUAAAUAUGGCAUUAGUACUUACUAAUAAAUAAAUAAGUUAUAAUAUAGUUAUAUUAAGACCAUAUUAUAUCUUAUCAGAUAAUAAUAUAAAAUGAAAAUAAUUAAAUAAACAAAUAUAGCUUAUUAAGUAGUUAAUUUUCAUGUACUAAUAUAAACAAACGAGUUUUUUUCUUUUUAGUGUGUUAUAUUUUAAAACUUUGAAAGUAUUUUCUAACUUUAUUUAAACAAUUAAUUAAUUUAAAUCUCAUUUAAUCUUAAAUUUGACAGGUAGGAAAAUUAUUUUUAUAUUAAUUUUUUUAUUUAGUUAGUUCGUGGAUAGAAUAGAAUUAAAAAUUUUUAGCCCGCAAACCAAUUCGCAAAAUGGUAGAUUGGAUAUGGAUUGAGUCAAAUCCGCAUUCGUUCCGCAAACGUAUGGAUUGGAUUUGAAUUGAAUUUCACUAAUUUGUAAAUUAGAUUGGAUUAAAAAUUUAUAUCCGCAAAAUUAUAGAUCGGAUAUAAAUUAAUGUCCAAUUCGUAAAAUUUGAUAUGCAAACACCCCUACUUAAGGUCUCUAACUCUCUUUCAGUCCUAAUUUUUGAGUAAAUUAUGGUGUUCUCGCAAUUAUUUUUCAUCUAUUUCAUAUAGGUCCUUACUACCGGCUAUUGUAGUGGAUACCCAUUUUGCCCAUCCAUAUUCCUACGGAUCUUCAAAACUUGAGAAUGCUUUGGGCUUGGACAACAUUUUAGUUUUGGGUAUGAAAUUGAUUUUCAUACUUAAGAAAUUAUAAUCCACAAUUCAAUCGUCUAAAGGACUGAAAUGAUUGAAUAAACGAAUUGAAGCAAUUUUUGAUAUGAUCCAAUCUGUUUAAAUUCAAAUUUGAAUUAGAACAGAAAAAAGGAAUCAAUCAAGGUUUGAGUAAUUAUUGUGAUGUAAAGCGGAAGCAAUAUUAAAUUUUAUUCUAGCGUACGUCUUGAAAACUCAAGAAAAAGGGCUCUCGCAAAGGAAAAAAUAUAUCAAUUGAGAAAAUACUGAAUAUUAUUGAUUGAGAAGCUUAUGUAAAGAAACAAGCAUAACAAGCCUAUUUAUACUAGUUAGAAUUAUCAUAUUCCUAAUAAAAUUAUGAUUCCUUAAAAGUAAAGGAAAGGAAUAUGACUUAAAUAAAAAAUAAAAAAUUAAAUCCUAAUCAAACAAAAAAAGGAAAUUAAAUUUAUACUCCUACCAUGACUCGAGUGUCCUACAUCAGUCUCCUCUCUUUAGAAGAACUCGUCCUCAAGUUGACUCAAUGAUAUGGCAAUCAUGCAGGUCCAUGAUACUUGAACAAAUCUUGAACAUUGAAAGUCUUGGAGAUAUUAUGGUUUGUUGGUAGGUCCACGACAUAAGGAUUGUCAUUGAUUUUCUAAAGAAUGCAAAAUGAUCUAAUCUUCUUUUUCUUGAGCUUAUUGUAUUCUCUAAUAGGAAAUCUAUCCUUUUGUAGAUGAACCAUCACUUGAUUUUCUACGGCAAAGGUUUUGAAGCGCCUAUGCUUAUCUACAUUUGCCUUGUACUUAGUAGCAAAUUCUUCUAGUUUCUUCUUGAUUUCCUCAUGAACAUUGAUUACUUUGUUUACCAUAUGAUCAGCAAUGAUGCUCAUUCCAGGUAGUUUAGGCAAAUGCACUAAAACUAGGGCAUGUAAGUGAGGUUUAAUGCAGACAAUCUCAAAAGUUGACUUUCCACUUGAUCGAUUGGGCACAUUAUUAUAAGUGAACUUUGCUUGAGGUAGAAGAUAAUCCCAUUGGUGGGGAUUUGCCUAAUGUGCGAUUAACAACUUUAGUUUGCCCAUCUGUCUGUGGGUGACAAGUACUAUUAUAUUUGCAAGGAUGUAUCUAGUCUCCUCUAUAAGGUCUUCCAAAAGUAACUUAGAAAUUUACUAUCGAUCAAAGACAAUAGUCUUAGGUAAUCCAUGUAAGCGAAAACCUCUUGAAAGAACAAUUGUGCAAUAUUCCUCGCGUCAGAAGUCUUCUUGCACGGAAUGAAGCGCACCAUUUUAGAAAAUCGAUCAACAACCACCAAGAUAGAAUAUGUUCCUCGUUGAGUUCGUGGAAGUCUUAAUAUGAAAUCCAUAGAUAAAUCUUCCCAAGGAGCCUCAAGAAUAGGGAGAAGAGUGUAUAAACUCGUAUUUUGUGCAUGGCCUUUAGCUAUUUGACACGUGGAGCAACGUUUAAUGAACUUCUCAACAUCUCUUUUAAGAUGUGGCCAAUAGUAUCAUGCUUCUACUAAUGCAAUGCUUUUAUCUCGGCCCAUAUGUCCUCCUAAUCCUCCGCUAUGUAGAUCUCGAAUUAUAUGCUCCCUUAAAGAUCCUUGGGGAAUGCAUAGGUGAUCUCCAAAGAACAGGAAUCCAUCAUGUAUCUAAUACUUGCUUGAGGCUCUUGAGGUACAUUUGUUCUAUCCUUCUUUAAAAUCUUCAUAAUUUGCAUAGAGAUCUUUUAGGUAUUCAAAACCAAUAAUUUCACUCUUUACUACGGUGAGAAAAACUACUCGGCGACUCAAAGCAUCAGCUACCUUGUUCAAUUACCCUAACUUAUGCUUAAGAGAGAAGGUAAAUCUUUGGAUGUAGGCAAUUUAUUGAACAUGUAUGAUUGACACUAAAAAGUGUAAUUUAAUAAGGAUAUAAUUAUUAGUUUUUCAUUUAUUGUAUCGAUUAAUAUGCUCAUUAUUUCUAAAUUAUCUUAAUACUCCCCAAAUAUAUUUUUAUGUUAAAUUAAUUCGUAAUAUGCUAAUUUUUAUCUUGUAAAUAUUUUUCAAGAAUAAAGAUGGAAUUGGAAUUGAAAUUGAAAGUAGGAACAAAGAAGGAUUGUUGGAGUAAUUUGGAAUGCAUUAUUAAGGAGAUGAAAUAAAUAAAUACUAAAAAAAAAUAAAAAGUAAAAAAAUAAAAAAAAGGAAGAAGAGAGCAACAAUGCUCGUGAUGGUCAAGUGGCCAUCUUGGCCACCUGACCGUCAUACCUUUCAAAAAGAUAUAUAUUAUAAAAUAAAAUAAAUAAAGAAUUAUGCAUUCCUUGCCUAUAUAAUUCCAAUCAUACCCUAUCGACUUGUUGAUAGAAAGUCUUACCACUUACCGGUUGAACUUGAACAUAAUUUAUUUUGGGUCAUUAAAGCUUUUAAUUCAAAUCUUAAUGAUGCCGGUAACGUGCGUAAAUUGUAAUUCAAUGAACUAGAGAAAUUAAGGAGUGAUGCAUAUGAUUAUUCCAGAAUUACUAAGGCAAGAAUUAAAGUUUUUUUAUGACAAAAGAAUUUUUCGGAAAACAUUUGAAAUUGGUCAAAAAGUGUUGCUUUAUAAUUCUCAUCUUUAUUUGUUUCCAGAGAAGUUAAAAUCAAAGUGGAAUGGUCCAUUUAUUGUAAAAAAUGUGUAUCCAUAUAGAGCCGUAAAAAUUGAGAAUCCAAAGGAUGGUGUCACAUUUAAAGUUAAUGGUCAAAGAUUGAAGUCAUAUCUAGAAUACCAACCAUGUGAAGCAAACAUCAAAAUCAAUUUGAGUGACCCACCAUAUCUUGAUUAAGCAUUUUUUUCAACUUUUUGUGAUUUUGUUUUCCUAUUACUUCAUCGUUUGAAUUGUUUGAUUUUUUUUCUUUUCCCUAUGUCUUGAAUGAAGUGCAUUACGUUAUUUCUUGUUUAAGUGUAUUGUUUGACAAUUGUGCUUUAGCUCACCAUUUUUUAUACAUGUCAUGAGUACCUCCAUGAGAAUGAUCAUUUUGAAACAUGUUAGAGAGCUUUUACAUGAAAAAUUUCACUUGAGGAACUUGCUCUGAUUCUGUAAAUCACAUCUUAUUUGGGAUCUACAACCACCAAAGUUAGUAUCCCACGUUAAAGAUCUAGAAAGACAACUCAAAGAAAUAGAGGAUUGUAUUUAUGAUCUGCAAUUGGAAUUAGAGGUAAAUUCAAUAAAAUGACGAAUGUGAGUUAUAUUCAUUCUGUGUUUUUAUUUUUUUCUUCUUUACUUUGAUUUGAUUUUACAGAUUUGAUUUGUUUCUUUGAUUUAUUUUGAUUCACUCUACCGCGUAAAUAGUGGAUAACGGUGCUCCGUAACUUUUAAGUCGGUAUUUUUAGUUUCCUACAAUAAUUGAACCCCAAAAUCAAGGAUGGAAUAAAUACAACAUAAACUGCAUAAGUGUUUUCCUUCUCUCCCUCAAAAUGCUCUUAAGAAGAUUUACAAAGCUCGUUGUGAACGACUACGUUUGUUAAUAAUCAAUGUAAUUCCUACUGACAUUCGUUGGUUAAUUAAAGCAAAUGUCCGACUGACAAGUGAGUUUUCUAAUCCAUUUAUUUUCUACAUGCCUGGUUUUGAUAAAAGUACAUUUGGUAAAAAAAGAAUAGCAAAGCGGCUUGGCUCUAAAUGUCCUAAUUGUGUAAGGCUUACUUGCAAAAAACCACGUUGUAAAACUUUAAGAAUGAUUUUUGUAAAUCGUGAAGAUAAAAAUCAAAUUCAUUAAAGAUGACAUGAGUAAAGAAUUGUUGGAUGAUAUCUUACGAUCCGUACAUCCGCCUUGGCCGUACAGCAGUCAUAAUAUAAAAAAAAAGAGAGGAUAUGUAUAAAUAAAUAAAAUGAAAAAAAAAGAAAAGACUGCUGUACCGUACAUCCGCCUUGGCCGUACAGCAGGUUACUGGACAUAAAACUAGAGGAAGAUGUAAGCCACAAUCACAACUACUAGUAAAUAUCCUUUUAUUUUAUCUUUUGCAUUAUUAUUAUUAUUAUUUUGUGUGUGAUUUUAUAUGUAAUCAUUGUUUGCUUUUUCUUUUCACUGUUUGCCUUUGAAUUAUUGAGCCAAAAGCUUCACCCGUCAUUUGACAAACACAUCAUCCCAUUUACAGAUGUGUAUCAUUAUGUCCGUCACCAAGAUCCUUAAAUAGGAGCUUUUUUUCAAGCACCCACAAAUUGUUUCUUUUUUAGAAUUGUUCUAAUGGCAACAAUUUCAAGCAGACAACUUAAGAACAUUUGUGUGUUUUUUGAAUUUCGUUAUGAAAAGUAUAAGGAGUUCGUUCAGACAGCCAUAGAUCUUGGUCGUGCUGUAGUAGAGAGACAACUACAUCUUGUAUAUGAAGGAGGUGAUCGAGGGUUAUCAAAAUUUGUUUCUGACGCUACUUUCGUUUGAGGAAGCCAAGUGCUAGGUAUUAUUACAAAAGCCUUAAAACCUUUAAGAUAUCUACCAGACCCACCAAAUGGAGAAAAAUUAGUUGUCUCAUACAUGUAAGAAAGAAUAUCUAAAAUGUUAAAUCAUGCUGACACUUUCAUUUUCUUGCCAGGAGAUCGUGCAACUUUAGAGGCACUAAUUAAAUUUGCUUCUUUGGCCCAUUUGAAUAUCCAUGAAAAAUUCAUCGGUUUGUUAAAUAUUAAUUAACUUUUAUGAUGACUUAAUAGCAUUUCUUAAUCAUGUUCGACCCUCAGCGAAAAAAUCUUUAUUUGUGCUCCUACUGUCAACGAGUUACUUGAUCUUUUGCAAGCUCACAAACUAGAGCCAGAUCUCAUGACUUUGACGUUGGAUUGGGCAACUGAUGAUGAUGGCAGUAACCCUCGUAAAAAGUGUAAAUUAGAUUUAACUAUCUAUUUAUAAAUAUUUUCCAGCAAUGGCCAGAUGAUGUCUUCUGAAUUCUACUCCUUUCUUUUUUAGACAUUGUGGACAAUGUUUCCUUCAGGUUGGAGGGAGGGAAUAGUUGAUAGUUGUGGAUUGUCUAAAUCAUGGUGAUGUUUUUACUAAUUUUUGUUGUAAAGACUAACUUUGAAUAAAAAUUUGAGUUGAAGAUAGCAGAAUAUAGAAUGUAGUGUCUCUAGAAACGUAUCUUCUUAAUUUUAGUAUUUUGUUUAAAAAAAUUAUUUUCUAACUUCUUUUUUCUUUCUUUUUCUCUUAAUCACCUCCCUUAAGUUUAUGCAAUCAAUUCCAAUUUUUUAGUGUCUUCUUUAGCUAAAAAAAAAGAGUUUUAUUUUUCGAUGUGAUCUUUUAACAUUGGAUAACAUGAUGAUUUUCAAAUUUUUUUAUUUGUAUUAUCUUUAGUCUUGAGUUAUGUUACACUAUGUUUUCCCCUAUGCAUGUUGAAACGUAAAUUGAGAAAUUUGAUGAGAUUAAGGCAUUUCAAGGAAUCCAUAUGUUAUGAAAAGUUCAAGUGAGUUUUUGAACAUAUUAUCAUUAGAGAGUAACCAUGUUUGUCUAUACAGCUUAACAAUUUAUUGUAUAAGAUCUCUAUAUUUUCUUUAAAGUUAAAAAAAAGGUGAAAAAAAGAAAGUUUGUGCAGUCGCAUCUAAAAGUCCAUUGAACUAGUGGAUAUGAAAAUUAUUUAGAGUCCUAAAAGAUGACAGAAGGUCAUCUUUGAUCCGUUUGAGCCUUUCUAGCCAACCCUAUUAUAAAGUAUCCAUAGUUCACCCCUUUGAGCCUUAAAAAAAAUUUUUUCUUUGAUAAUCUAUCAUCUUAUCCCACUUCAAUAUGGAGUAUCACCUUAUGUUUUAUAUUUUUCACCACCCAAUUAUGUUUAAAAAUAGGGAUGAUUAUGUAUUCAUAAUAUAAAAAAAAAGAGAGGAUAUGUAUAAAUAAAUAAAAUGAAAAAAAAAGAAAAGAAAAAAAUUCCAAGCACCUUGUAAUCUAAAAAAAAAUCUCCUAUUUUUCAAACAUAUAUUUUUAUUUUUCCUAUUACCCUUUUUUGUUAGCCAUGACCCUAGCUUACAUUAUGUCCUAAUGAAAGUCUUUCUCGAUUUUAGGGAACUAUAGUCUGAAGUAAAAACUAGUAAUAUGAACUAAAUGAUGUGGUGAUGCAUAAAAAUAAAAAUAUAUUUUGCUAGUAAUUCCUUGCACUUGAGAUCAUUUCAUUCUAAGUUGUGGGCAUUAUUUUUUCAUCUUGGUGAGAGCGUGUGGCAUUAUUUUACUAUUUUCUCAAUUUACUACGUUUUAGAGUGACAGUCUUUCUGGGGUAUACUUUUUUUUUUAGAAAGUCACACUUAACAGUGAAGUUUUGGGGCUUGACAUAUUUUUCUUAAAAGUGGCUUGAUUAAUGUAGCUAUGAUAAUUGAUCAUUUUAUAUGAUUUUACUUAACUGAUUUAUGUGGGUGUGAUUUUCUCUAGACUGAAGAUAAUGCGUAUACUUUUAUUUAAUUUUUUUCAUUAAUAUGAUGAAAGUAGUAAACACAAUUUUUUUUAAAAAAAUUCAAUUUGGUUUUGAAAUUUCGCUAAAUUUUAAUCUCUUAAAUUGCUAGGGCCUAGCAAACGAAAUAAAGUUUGUACAUAGUCAAGAGGUAAAAAUCUUUUCCUUAGGAUGUGAUGCAUGCGAUACCAUGUCUUGACCUUUUAUUUUCCUUGUGGCACACAAGAAGUUUGUAUAUUGUUCUACCAAACUGCAGCAGUGCCUUUAAGUUUAUAAGCUACUAUCUUGACUUUCUUUGAUUCCGAAAAGUCCAUUGUUUCAAAAAAUCGUUCAACAUCUGAUAACCAGUCAAGAAAGUCUUCAAUGCCUAGUUGCCCAUUGAAUGAAAGGAGAUCAAUUUUGAUGUGAUAGUCAAUCUGAUGCGUUUCUCAUCGCGCAUCUUCUAUCUUCUCUUCAUUUGAAUCGUCGAAACUUGGAAAAGGUGGAGAAGCUUUUGUAUUCCUACUGGAGCUACAUAUUUCCUUUAUUCAAUUGGUCUUCUUUUGCUCACUAAAAUUAUUUCCUAACUCAACAAUGUCAAUACCCUUUGCAUCUUGAUUACCUCUUUGGGCUAGUCUAAUCUCUUUUAAUUCUUAUAUCACGUCAAGUAAUGAUUCUUCUAUUGCCGUAAUAAGAGUUUGUAUUGACUAUAGGAUUGUCAUUAUUUCGCGCCAUGCUUCUCCUGAAUGAGUUUGGGAUUGUUCGAGUCGCUCUAUCUCUUUUGUAAUUCGAGCCUUAAAUGAAGUACUGCUUUCUCUAUAAACCAUUUUUUUGGUGAAUUUUCUUUUUUUUUCUUUUGUUUUUUUUUUUUGGGUAUUUAAAAGAACUGAAAUUUAUAGGGUAAUAAUGUAAUUUAAGAAAAGUAAUGGGACAAAAUUAUAAAUAAGCAAACAUUUGUGUUGUCGGUGAUAGUGUUUGGAAAAUUGGGCUAGGAUAGGUGGAUUUGAAAGAUUUGAUGGUGUUGAGGGUGAUGGUGGUGUUGGUUUGUCUCGAAUCGUUGUAGAUUGAUCGGAAAAUUGAAUUGAAUUUGCGAUUAGGGGUUGGUUUCGAUUUCUAGUGAACCGGCCAGCGGUGAACAGCGGGAGUGGGCUGGAAUGGUGGGCCUGAUGAUGGUGAACGAAUUGCUGGUGGUGGAGGCUGGUGAAUCGAGGUAGGUUACGGUGGAUCGACUGGGGUUUCGUGCGGCAGUUUGGUAGCAGUUUUGGUGUGUUUCUGGUGGCUAAAGCGGCAUAUCGAUGGUAAGAUGGUCCGGUUUUGAUGAUCGGCUUCUUCUGGUUCUAAUGGUGGUGGAGGUUGACAGAAAAGAUAAAGAACGGCGUUGACGAUAGCCAAGCACAAGGGCAGUGACGGUGGUUUUGGAUUUUGCUGGGUUUAUAAUGUUUUUUUUUAACUUGAUGGAAUUAAUGGAUGGUGGGGGAGGGAUAUGUGAAUGAAGGGUGGUUGGCGAUUAGGAAAGUUCUGCUUGCUACAGAGAAAGACUCUAAUAUCACUUGUCGUAAAACAGAAGUGAUACUAGAUUUCGUUAUAACGUACGUCUUGAAAACUCAAGAAAAAUGGCUCUCGCAAAAGAGAAAAUAUCUCAAUCGAGAAAAUACUGAAUAUUCUUAAUUGAGAAAUUUAUAUGAAAAAACAAGUACAACAAGUCUAUUUAUACUAAUUAAAAUUAUCUUAUUUAUAAUAAAAUUAUGAUUCCUUAAAAGUAAAAGAAUACGACUUAAAUAAAAAAAUAAAAAAAAUUAAAUCUUAAUGGAACUAGAAAAAAGGACAUUAAAUUUAUACUCCUACUAAGACUAGGGUGUCCUACAUCAUACUGCCACGCUUUUCUUGUUGUUUAUUUUUUCAUGAUUCAAUUAUGAAACUUAAAAAGGUAAUAAGUAACUUAAUUAAACAAAUUCUCAUAAUAAACCAAUGAAUCAUAUAAGAAAAUAUGAAUUAGUGAACUCAACUAUUUGUUUCAUUUAUUAAAUGAGAUGAUGAAGAUUCAACUCAUUAGCAACAUUUUUGUUAUUACUUUUAAAUUAAAAAAAGCACACUAGAAUUUCAUUAAACCGAAAAUAGAUUAUAUGAUAAGAGAUGGACUUAUUAUGCAUUUACUUGGGGGAUUGGGUGAUUGGAAUUUAGAAUGAGAAUAAUUGAUGAUUUUUACUUGUUAAACUAAAAGUGAAAAUCAUAAUGAAACAUGUGAGUCCACAUGUUUUCUGAAUUAAAGAAUAAGUACUUGAUUCUAGUGAAGGCUUGAGAAUCAAGUUCUCAUACUUUCACCUAUAUUUCAUAAUUCUACUUUUGUCCUCAAUUAAACUACUAUUAUAUUAUUGUUAUCGUUUUUAUUCUUAUUCUUACAAUUGUUGUUAAUAAUAAUGAUGACGAUGAUGAUAAUUUUAACCAUAAUAAUAAUCAUUAUUACUUUUAUUGUUAAAACUAUUAUUAUUAUUAUUAUCAACAUUUAUUUUGAAUAAUAAUAGUAAUCAAAAUUAUUAUAAUAAAUAAUGAUAAUAAUCAAUGAAGGUCGUUUUAUUGACUUCAAACAAUCUAUCUAAUUUCAAAGCAAAGUAAACAUCGAUGAUAUUAUAGUUCAUUCCAAUCUUGAUUCCUACGGAUAAAGUAAAUGAUUUAUUCUAAUGCAUAUUCCCUAUUUGGAUUCCUAGAGAAGACAAAAUCAUCCAUGGGUUUGGAGCCCAAUGGGGCCCUAUCCCAAAUAGGGUGAAUUUUGAAUAAUUUUUUGGAAUGAGAUGGGGAAUGAAAGAAAAACAAUCUCGAAAUUCUAAAUAAGGUGGGGUUUGGUUUUGUACUUCUCACCCAUCCUCACCUCAAUCCCCAUUAUAUAUGAAUUUUUUUUUUAAUUUUUGUUCAAUUAUUUUUGCUUUAUCAAUUUUCAUGUUGGUUAAUAAUUUUCUUUUCAUUUAAUAUAAAUAUGUUAUAAUUAAAAGAAAACCCUACGUUAUAAUUUUGAUUCAACCCUAAAGUGUGAUGUUUUCUUUUAACUCUCAAGGUGCUGCUCUCUUCAAAUAUUUUUUAGUGUUGAUAUUAUUUCAAGAUAUUAUUUCAACUUUUUAGUGAUUUUUUAAAUCAUUUAUAUAGUUUAUAAUAUGAUAAUAAUUUUAGUUAAGUCUAUAAUUUUUAAUUUACUAAAAUUAUUUAUUUGUGCUUACUAUAAAAUAAAUAAAUAAAAAAUAGAUAUGAGAUGAGAAAAUCAUUCCCCACAUGAUAAAGUUUCUUAGGAAGAUAGAGGACGAAACAAUCAAUUUACUCUUUGUUCUUAGCAGUUGUUGGUUUUGAGUUUGAAUGCUUGGAGAUUAUGAUAAAGUUUGAUAAGCCCUCACAAGAAUCUCUAAAAAUAAACUUCCACGAUUAUAAGGGAGUAAUGUAUUGACUAACUCAAUCAAAAUUUGGUGUAUUUAGUAAUUUGAGUUAUUAAUAAAUCUGUAAUUAAAAUAAAAAAUGUUGAUGGGGUUUGAUGAGAUACAUGAAGAGGAUCGAAUAGCACACUCAAAAACAUAUUUUAAUAAAUUCGGCCCAAUAAAUUAAAAAAAAAAAAACAAAUUUUGUUCUUCGUAGCAAAAUAAAUAAUUGUAGGAGUUGGAAUUAUAAAUUCCAUAUCCAUCAAGCAUCAUGCUUACGUGUAGUCACGUGAUAAAUGUCAUAAACUUGUCAUCCAGUGAAAGGACAUCUGACAUAUGUCGAAAUCGACAACUGAACUACGGUACCAGGUUCCAGGAUGUGGCAAAUUAUUGCCUUAUUGGCACCAAAAUGAUAGAAGUUUGGUGACUUUACUUGAUGAAUUUUAUAAAAAAACAAUGAUCUUCUUUUCUUCUCUUCAUGAAAAAUAUAAAUUUUAGGACUUUUUAAACAAUAAAUAUAACUUUUUUUCAUUGUAAAUAUAAAAAGAUUACAAAAUAUGUUCUUGUAUAUAUGAUGUUGUAAAUACAGUUAAUGGUAUUAUACUUAAUAUCAAUUUACAAAUUUAUGUUAUUUUAAAAAAUAUUUAUUUUAUUUAUAAUUUUAAAACACUAAUUUAUCAUUUUUAUAUUAAUUUACGCAUUUUAACUUUUAUUUACUAAUUUUAUAUGUAAUUUAUAAAUUUUAUGUUUAUCACGACAUUGAUGCCUUAAUUUUAGUAACGGCGUCAAAUAAUUUUCCUAUAAUUAAACAAAUUGGCACUAAGGCAUUAGCUAUUAGUUGAGGUCGUAAGUUCAAAUCUUUAGUAAGACAUAAACCAUAUCUUCUUUCCACAAAGGAGGCUUAACACGUAUUCUCUUCAAUAAAUAUGGGUAAGGAUAAAUAUCUUCCCAAAUAUAAUUAGGGAUAGAAUCUCAAAUUACUCUUGGUAGAUCUCUAUAUUGUACUAUAUAUUUUAGAUCUCUAUAUUGUACUAUAUAUUUUAACCAAUUAAAAAAAAUUAGUUGAACAAGUUAAUAAUAUCAUUUUGACAAGCAAGAAGGAAAAAAAAAUGAAGGUACCAUAUUUAUUAUCUAUAAAAGAUAAUUACACCCAAUGUGAACACAAUGAAUUCAAACUUUAUAAGUUAUGUAGUGUUUAUUUUUUCAGCACCAAUAUUCACACAAAGCUAAGCACAAAGCUUUGCACAAAAUGGUUCGUUUUGUGAAAAGUAUAAAAGCCAUUUACACUUGCAAGCAACAUCACCACACACGCACGGAUCAAAUCCUCUAGGAGUGCAGCAACGUUUCUCCUGUCUCUCUCUCUCUCUCUCUCUCUUGCAUUCUCCCUCUUUUAUCCCCCACCACACAGCAGUGCAGCAAUCAUACUAAUGCUCAUGAUGUUACGAAUGAUACAAAGCUUCCCAUUCAAAGGAACAAUUGCUGCAGUCCUUGGCGAGUUGGCAAUCAUAAGCAAUUUUGAAGAAUCCAAUCCAACCAAACUGAGAAGGUCCCUAAUGUAAGAACAAAAUUCAAGCAACCAUAAGCAAAGCGAUCAACAUUAAUCACCAUAUUAAUAUAUGCUCUGUAAAAUAAUUUGAAGACCACGAUAUCCUUAACAAGAACAAUAACCAUUCAAAAUCUAUGAGGCCUCAAAAACAUAUUAAUUCAUCUUUAACAAUUAAGCAGUCUGCAUCUUUAAUUACAAAUUAAUCUUUAAUCAAUUAAGCCGAUUGUGUUGGGGGAUAGAGAGCGAUGCAGCUGCAAUCGAGAGAAUGAGGGACAACGGAGCUGAGAGAGUGAGGAAGAUCGGAGCCGAGAGAGUGAGGGAGAUCGGAGCCCAGAGAGCCAGCUAGAUGCUUCAAGCGAGAGACAAGAGAGCUGUCACUGUUGCUGCGUUGUGAGGGAGAACGGAGCUGAUAUCGAGCUUGUGUAUACACGGGAGAGUGUUGUUGUGUGGUGGGGGAGAAAAGAGGGAGACGAGAGAAAGAGAUGGGAGGAACGCAGGAUUUGUUGCGUUCGUGUGUGGCAUUUUGCUUGCACGUGUGAAUGGCUUUUAUACUUUGCACAAAACGAACCGUUUUGUGCAAAGCUGAAUAAGGGUUUGAGUGUCUUUUUUGAAACAUUAGGGAGUUUUGUGUCCUUUAUUCAAACGUUGGGGGUCUCUGUGUCCUUUUUCCUUUUUUUUUUCUUUGAAAUCUAAAUAGACUUGAUUUUAACUAAAGUUUGAAUAAGUUUGAAUAUAAAUGUUUGAACGCCAUAUUUAUUCUUCUUUUUUUAAUAUCUGAAUAAAAGUUGUGUCUUAAACAUGGUUAUUUAACAUUUAUGCCUGUGCAAGCCAAAAAAAUAAGAAAUUAAGUUUUAUGGUUUAGGAAAUAAGUAUAUUUUUAGUUCUUAUUCAGUAGUUACAAAAAUUUAUUUUUCUAUUCUGAUGUAAAUGUUUGAAAAUCAGACACAAAUUAUAAAAAAAAAAUUAUAAUAAAAAAUUAAUAAAUUUUUAGACUUUAAACAAAUAACAAACAAACUGUUAAUAAUAAUCUUCGUUAAUUCUGUUAAUUUUUUUUUCAAGGUUUAGGGGACAGGACUGAAGACCCUCUCAAAAGCCCUAAUUUAGUUCCAAUACUCAUCACAUUAACAUAGGAGCCCAUGUGAGCAAUGGGCCCCGCAAAGUCUUUUUUUCCCCCCAAAAAAAUAUAUUUUUUUUAAAUUUCAACCAUAUUUUUAUUUGCCUCCGUAGGAUUUGAUUAUUUGUGGGGAUAGAUUUUCGAUCUAAUACUCAAUAAACGCGUGCACUGCAUUACAACUACAAGUAAAUACAUAUAUUUAGAAUUUUAAUAAAUUUAAAAUUGUAAUAGAUUUAUAAAAUAUUAUCAAGUUCAAUAUCUAUAUAGUUCUUUCAUAGUGAGAACAUCAUUAGUUUAAGUAAAAUAUAAAAAAAAAAUCAUAUAUCAAUAUAUUAAAAAAUGUAUUUUUGUAUCUGUUAACGUAUUAAAAUUUAUUUAUUUUUAUAUUUUACUGAUAUUUUCAUUUUAAGAAAAUGAAGUAUGUACUCGUUUCUGUUAUUAUAUGAUAAAAACACAAACAAAUCAAACGUAUCUGAUAUGCAUAUUGAUACAUUACUUGCGUUGUAAGCCCCACAACUGCUACAUCUCCCAAACUAGCUGAUUGACCAUCCUGACAUCCUGUGGCUCAAAAGGCCUUAUCGAUUUUGUAAUAACCAAAAAAGACAACAAUCAUCAGUCCCUUUCAAAUCCAACCUUCAGAAAUUGCAGAAUCAGGUGGUUGAUUUCAUGGCGGGCGGUGGUGGUGAUGAAGAGCCUUCUCUUCAAAAUGUGGAAACUAAACCACACAAUCACACAUGUGGUUCCUCGCAAAUGCCAAAUCCCAAAUCCCAAACGAGAGGUCAAGACAAAUAAAAAAUAAAAAAAUUGUCAUUUUGUAAAUAGAUGCGGAUCGUACAUUUUGUUUUGAUUCGGGCAAGGGGACAAAACUACGUUACAGAAUCUGUAAGGUACAGACUGCAGCAUCAGCCGUUGGAUGUGGUUGGAUGUGGAGUGAGAAACUAAACAAAAGAAAAUCAGAUGGUGGGAUGACGGGAGAUGUUUGUUACAGAGUCUGUAACAUAGACAGGUCCCGGGCAAGGCCGUAAGCCCGUAACGUCCUAAUAUUAUAUAAUUGAUUAAUUAAUAAGGUGGGACCGUUUCUGUCGCUCUCAAGUCUCAAUCGUCUGUUGUUUGGCCCCGGUGCAGCGAAUCGAUAAUGAUGCCCCCACUCGGCAACAAUAUUUUCGGUGAAGUUAAAGAGAUGUUAUUCCAAAGUCCAAACGCUUUCUUUUUCAUUUACGUCACCGUUUUGAAUAGAAGUAGAGAUAGGUAAUAUUUGGUAUCUCUUCAAUGUAUUGAAAUAGUCAAACAGAGAUCUCGUCGUUUCGUUGACAUCAAUUUUUAAAUUAUGCUCCAUAAAUGUCUGAUGGAUGUCGAGAAAAGUGAAAAAUUUAAAUUUAAAUUCAAUCUGUUCAACUACGUAACAAAGUGGUAUCACUUCUUUUGUCUUUUAUGAUAAAUUUUCAUAUAACUCCUUUCACUCAUUUUAAUUUAAUAUUUAUCUCAUAAGUAUUAAAUUAAUUUUUAUUUGUAUCCAUAAAAACAUUUCAGUUAGCACUUUACACUAUUUCAUAUUUUUCAAUGGCCGCAUCAAAAUAACCCACCUCCAAUGGCAUAGCCCUUAGUUUCUCUUUGAAUUCCGGCUUAAAACCCUCAUCGUAUAGCUAAAAUAUCUCUUUCAAUCGAACAUCGGUAAUAAUGAAUCUCAAAGCAAUACGAUGAACUUUUUCAUCAAUUUCAAACUUCUACGAUCAAUUCUAAUAAUGGCUCGUCUUUGGAUUACAGUUCUACAUUUAUGGGAUCGGGGAUUUCAGAUUCUAAUGCUUAUACAUAUGACGAUGAUGGUGCUGAUAUUUUUGGAUUGAAGAAGGCCAAAAGCGACGACGUUCCUGGGUCGUUUGUCUCGCCACCAAAGAAGAGUGAUUGAAUUGAUGAUUUGUUGGGUGGUUUUGGUGUUGGAGCUGAUUGGAAUUCGAAGAGUCCGAAGCAAAAUGAAGCUGGUUUUGAUGAUUUGGUACCUGGCUUUGGUGCAAGCUCUUCUCCCAAGGGAUGGGUCUUUUCUUGGCUUAAUAAUUUUUUUUGAAUAGUUUAGCUUAAUAAAUUUACUUCACUUUUUAGAUUAUAAUUUAGUAAAACUUUUUACUCUUCAUGUAUAAUAAUAAUAAAAAUUUAAUGAUAUAAUUUCAGUCCAUACUAGAUAAAAUUAAUUCAGCACCCAUUUAAAGAUGAUAAGUUAUUAUUUGCAAUAGCAAAUUAAAGGAGAAAAAGCAAGCGGUGGUUACACACAGACACACUAAUUUUCCCCUACUUGAAUAAACUAAACUAUGCAAUCAGAUGUCUAUGCUUAAUAUAUAGACAAUCAAAUUAAAAAUAAAAAUUCAUUGCAAAAUCAAUGGUAAUUCCAACCCGUAUGAAUUUGUAAUUCUUAAUUGUUCUUCUAUUUUGGUAUAAACUGGUAAAUAAAGUAGAAAUAUAUCAUCGAUCAAAAGAAAGAGGAAACACAAACUAAUUCAUAUUUAUGUUUUUCUCGAUACUCAAAUUUACAUAAGAUUGUAAUUAAUAGUAGUAAUAAUAACACGACACCAAGACUUGCCACAUUGUUUGCAUAAAUACGACUAUCAAAUCGAUAUAGUAGUUAAGGAACAAAUUAAUUAUCAUAGCUACUAUUUUCUAAUAAUAAUAAUUAUAUCUACUAAUUAUUGAAAUUUAUUUAUUAAUAAAUUUAAAUAAUACUAUUAUUAUUAUUAUUAUUGUUAUUGUAAUUGCCAAAAUAUGUAGCAACUUACAACAUGCUAUGAGUCCAUAAAUAUUGCAAAAUAUAUCCAAGAAUAAAUAAAAUUAACCAAAUCCAGACCAGGGUAAAACAAGUAUAGGAUUAUAUGAGGAACUGCAUGAUAAACCAUACAAAACCUAGAAAAUCUAAUUGGCAUAUCUAAAAAUAUAAUAGUGAAUGGCACGUGAUUACUAACAAAAUCACGAGCCUAGAGGUCAAAUAUAGCAAAAACCAGUUAGGUACACACUUGAGUCAAAUUUGCGAGAAACAUCAAGAACAAGAAAUGACUUUACUUAUAAAGAAUGAUCAGGUAUAAUUCGAAUUGUUAGCUUAUUUAAAUUAUGAGCCAGACUAUUGAAGGACUUUUUACUAGACUAUCAAAGGAUUUAUUUCCCUUCAUAUAUUGUAAUAAAAAGUUUUUAUUAAUAUAAUGUCAAUCCAUACUAUAUUAAAUAUUUGACUAAAUUAUAGCUUAAGGCAACUUAAUGUGAUAAAGCUUAAUGCAAUCCAACUUACUUAAUACAACAUAUAAUGACGAACCAAAUGCACCCAAAAGAUAAGAAUACUUGAAUUAAAUAACAUGAUAAAAAUAAAAGCAUGAAAAAUUAUAAUACUUUUUGUAAUAGAACUAUUCGAUUAAGAAAAAAAAGUACCAUAAUAUGUAUAAAAUUUUGAAAUAAAUAGAGUGUAAAGUGUUAAAUGAAAUUUGAUAAUGAGUGUAAAAAAUAACCUAAUAUUUUAAAAAAAUUAUAAUAAAAAAAGUGUAAGGUUUUAAAUUCAACAUGUAAAUGAUUCAAUUUAAAAAUAGUAAAAUGGGGGUACCGUGAUACAGGGGCAACAUUGAGUAAAAUAUUUAUAAAUAUUAUAUAACAUAAUGUGCUAACUGAAAUGUACCUUUGGAUGCAGGUAGAAAUGUUAAAUAAAAAUGAAUUAAAGGAGUUAUAUGGAAAUUUGUCACAAAAGACAACAGAAGUAGUAUGAUACUACUGUUGUAACAUAACUGGACCCGUCCUUCUUAUUAUUUUUUUUUGAGUUCUGCUAUUUACCCCGGGUCAAACCCCAAAUUAAACAAAACGACGUCGUUUUGGCUUCUUUUUUUUGGUCCUUUUUGCUUCUAUGGAACGAAGUCGUUUCAGCCAAACAAAAGCGAAUGUCUUCGUUUUCAUCUUCUUGUCCUCUUCGAUUCUCCUCUUCGUUUCACCAGCCGUUUCAGUCAAUCGAAAGCAAACCCAAACGUCUUCGAUCUUUAGUGUUGCAAUUUGGCUGAUCUAGUGCAAGUGCUGAAUAUUAUUGCUCCGCAAGUGCUGAAUUUAAUUGCUUUGCAAGUGAUGAAUUUUGAUAGCUAUUGUCAUUUCCAUUUUAUUUAAUUUUCGAUUGAAGUAAAAUGUUAAGAAAAUAAGUGUGUUAAAUUGCAAUUGAUAUUCAUUUUUCCUUUCCGCACUUGAUUUGGGUGCUUAAUGCCCAGUGUUGAGGAUGAAGGAUGAUGAAAAUGAGAUUUUGGACCGGAAGAAACUGUGUACAGAUUUGUAUGCAUUUUGUUUUCAAUUGCUCUGCAUUUUUUGAUGAAUUGUUGUGCAAGUGAUUUCUGCAAUUUGUGUUGAAUUUGUGCUCUGUUUGUCUGUAAUUUGUGUUGAAUUGGUCUGCCAUUUGUGCUGCAAUUGCUCUGCAUUUUACAGCUCCAAUACAAACUACAAACGGACUUAUAGGGCUUCAGAUUUAGAAGAAAAAGCAUAAACCUAGGUGAGAUUUACCUUUAAAAAAAGUGAAAUAAUUAUAAAUAAUAGAAAGCAAGUUAAUUAGAAGCACAAAAGCAGAUUUUGUGGACACCAAAAUAGUCUAGAAUCAGCAGCUUUAUUGCCUUCUAUAAGCAUGAGAAAAAUCACACACACACACACACACACACACACACACACACACACACACACACACACACACACACACACACACACACACACACACACACACACACACACACACACACACACACACACACACACACACACACACACACACACACACACACACACACACACACACACACACACACACACACACACACACACACACACACACACACACACACACACACACACACACACACACACACACACACACACACACACACACACACACAUCACUACUGCUGUUCAAGCUUUUGCUUGGGUGUGAUGAAUCGAAGAGGAAGAGGAAGAAAAAGAAAAGCAGCUGCGUUUUUUCUGUUUUCACUAGGCUGAAACAACUACGUUUCAUGGAAGCAAAGAGAGAAAAAAAAAAAAGAAACUAAAACAAUGUCGUUUUGGUUUGAUUCGGGGUUUGACCCUGGGAAAUUAUGAGCUAGACUAUUGAAGGACUUUUUACUAGACUAUCAAAGGAUUUAUUUCCCUUCAUAUAUUGUAAUAAAAAGUUUUUAUUAAUAUAAUGUCAAUCCAUACUAUAUUAAAUAUUUGACUAAAUUAUAGCUUAAGGCAACUUAAUGUGAUAAAGCUUAAUGCAAUCCAACUUACUUAAUACAACAUAUAAUGACGAACCAAAUGCACCCAAAAGAUAAGAAUACUUGAAUUAAAUAACAUGGUAAAAAUAAAAGCAUGAAAAACUAUAAUACUUUUUGUAAUAGAACUAUUCGAUUAAGAAAAAAAAAGUACCAUAAUAUGUAUAAAAAUUUGAAAUAAAUAGAGUGUAAAGUGUUAAAUGAUCGAAAAUCAGACAUAAAUUACAAAAAAAUAAAAUAAAAAAUAAAAAAUUAAUAAUUUUUUAGACUUUAAACAAUUAACAAACAAACUGUUAAUAAUAAUCUUUGUUAAUUCUCUUAAUUUUUUUUUUCAAGGUUUAGCGGACAAGACCCUCUCAAAAGCCCUAAUUUAGUUCCAAUACUCAUCACAUUAACAUAGGAGCCCAUGUGAGCAAUGGGCCCCGCAAAGUCUUUUUUUUUUCCCCCAAAAAAAAUAUUAUUUAUAAAUUUCAACCAUAUUUUUGUUUGCCUCCGUAGGAUUUGAUUAUUUGUGGGGAUAGAUUUUCGAUCUAAUACUCAAUAAACGCGUCCACUGCAUUACAACUAUUAAGUAUAUAUAUUUAGAAUUGUAAUAAAUUUAAAAUUGUAAUAGAUUUAUAAAGUAGUAUCAAGUUCAAUAUCUAUAUAGUUCUUUUAUAGUGAGAACAUCAUUAGUUUAAGUAAAAUAUAAAAAGAUCAUAUAUUAAUAUAUUAAAAACUGUAUUUUUUGUCUGUUAAUAUAUUAAAAUUUAUAUUUUUUUUAUAUUUUACUGAUAUUUUCAUUUUAAGAAAAUGAAGUAUGUACUCGUUUCUGUUAUUUUAUGAUAAAAACAAAAGCAAAUCAAACAUAUCUGAUACGCAUAUUGAUACGUUACUUGCGUUGUAAGUUGCAAGCCCCACAACUGCUAAAUCUGCCAAACUAGCUAAUUGACCAUCCUGAUAUCCUGUGGCUCAAAUGGCCUUAUCAAUUUUGUAAUAACCAAAAAAGACACAAUCAUCAGUCCCCUUCAAAUCCAACGUUCAGAAAUUUCGAAUCAUGUGGUUGAUGCGCAAUUUCUUGGCUGGUGGUGGUCAUGAAGAGCUCUCUCUUCGAAAUGUGGAAACUAAACCACACAUGUGGUUCCUCGCAAAUGCCAAAUCCCAAUCGAGAGGUCAAAAUCACGGGAUGAGUAUUUUGAGGAUUUUUUUUCCAUUCGAGAAGGAUAUAUGGAUAAUUUUAUAUCUAAUUUUUUAUUCGAAAAAUGAACGGAGAAAAUUUUUUGCAUAGUUUUUUAUUCGGAGAAGAGACGGAAAUGGAGUGCAAUCCCCAUCCCCUCCUCAUUCCCCUAUUUUAUUUUUUAAAUUACUAGUAAAUAACUAAUAAAAUUUAAAUUAUAUUAUAAAAUUAUAAAUAUUGGUAAAAAUAACAAAUAUCAAAAUAUUUAUAUUAUUAUUAAAUUUUUAGGCUUAAUUAACUAAUUAAAGUCUUAAAUUUUUAUUUAGGACAUUAAAAAUGCCAGAUAGAUUCUAUUAGCCCAAAAUUUUUGUUUUAAUUUUAAUUUUAUUUUAUUAAAAAUAUUAAUUAUCUAAAUUUAUUUCAUUUGUUUUAUUGUCGAUAUAAAACAGGAUUAUCAAGAUUAACAAAGAUAAUUAUUUUAAUAAUUUAUAUUUUGUAUGUGACUUUUGUAAUGAAUCAAUGUUAAUGUAAGAUAUAUUUUAAAUUUUAUUUUUAUUUAAAUUUAAAUUUUAAUAUAAUUAACUUAAAAUUAAAAAAAUAUAUAUUAAUUAUUUAGGGAUCAGAGAUUUUCAGAAAUUUUCUAUUAUUAUUUAGGAAGAGAAUAUAAAUUUUCGCAAAUACUUUUAACAGAGACAAAGAGAAGAUAUGAAAACACGUAAAAUAUGGGAGACAGACGCGUGAGGAGAGAUUGGUCUCCUCCCCUUCCCACUGCCAUCCCUAGUCAAAACAAAAAAAAAAAUUGUCAUUUUCUAAAUACACGCAGGUCGUACGUUUUGUUUGGAUUCGGGCAAAGCCCGUAACGUCCUGAUAUUAUAUAAUUGAUUAAUUAAUUAAUUCCUAAGGUGGGACCGUUUCUGUCGCUCUCAAGUCUCAAUCAUCUGUUGGUUUGGCCCCAGUGCCGCGAAUCGAUAAUGACGCCGCCCUCACUCGGCAACAAUAUUUUCGGUGAAGUUAAGAGAUGUUAUUCCAAACGCUUUCUUUUUCAUUUACGUCACCGUUUCGUAUAGAAGUAGAGAUUGGUAAUAUUUGGUAUCUCUUCAAUGUAUUGAAAUAGUCAAAUAGAGAUCUCGUCGUUUCGUUGAUCUCAAUUUUUAAAUUAUGCUCCAUAAAUGUCUGAUGGAUGUCGAGAAAAGUGAAUAAAUUAAAUUUAAAUUCAAUCUCUUUCUCGAGUUCAAAUACAUUACAACAGUAGUAUCAUACCACUUCUUUAUCUUUUAUGACAAAUUUUCAUAUAACUCCUUUCACUCAUUUUAAUUUAACAUUUAUCUCACAAGUAUUAAAUUAAUUUCUAUUUGCAUCCAUACAAAUAUUUCAAUUAGCACCUUACACUAUUUCAUGUUUCCAAUGGCCGCAUCAAAAUAACCCACCUCCAAUGGCAUAGCCCUUAGUUUCUCUUUGAAUUCCGGCUUAAAACCCUCAUCAUAUAGAUAAAAUCAAAAUUCAUUUAGUGGGGGCUUUCCCGAUGAUAAUCUCUUUCAAUCCAACAUCGGUAACAAUGAAUCUCAAAGCAAUUCGAUGAACUUUUUCGUCAAUACUUCUACGAUCAAUUCUAGUAAUGGCUCGUCUUUGGAUUACAGUUCUACAUUUGUGGGAUCGGGGAUUUCAGAUUCUAAUGCUUAUACAUAUGACGAUGAUGGUGAUGAUAUUUUUGGAUUGAAGAAGGCCAAAAGCGACGACGUUUAUGGGUCAUUUGUCUCGCCACCAGAGAAGAGUGAUUGAAUUGAUGAUUUGCUGGGUGGUUUUGGUGUUGGAGCUUAUUCGAAUUCGAAGAGUCCGAAGCAAAACGAAGCUGGUUUUGAUGAUUUGGUACCUGGCUUUGGUGCAAGCUCUUCUCCAAGGGAUGAGUCUUUUUUUUGGCUUAAUAAUUUUUUUUGAAUAGUUUAGCUUAAUAAAUUUACUUCACCUUUUAGACUAUAAUUUAGUAAAACUUUUUACUCUUCAUGUAUAAUAAUAAAAAAAUUUAAUAAUAUAAUUUCAGUCCAUACUACAUAAAAUUAAUUUAGCACCCAUUUAAAGAUGAUAAAUUAUUAUUGGCAAUAGCAAAUUAAAAGAGAAAAAGCAAGCGGUGGCUACAUACAUACAUACAUACACACACAUAAUAUAUACACACACGUUAGCCUAUUAAUUUUCCCCCACUUGAAUAAACUAAACUAUGCAAUUAGAUGUCUAUGCUUAAUAUAUAGACAAUCAAAUUAAUAAUAAAAAUUCAUUGCAAAAUCAAUGGUAAUUCCAACCCGUAUGAAUUUGUAAUUCUUAAUUGUUCUUCUGUUCUGGUAAAAACUGGUGAAUAAAGUAGAAAUAUAUCAUUGAUCAAAAGAAAGAGGAAACACAAACUAAUUCAUAUUUAUGUUUUUCUAGAUGCUCAAAUUUACAUAUGAUUGUAAUUAAUAGUAGUAAUAAUAACACGACACCAAGACUUGCCACAUUAUUUGCAUAAACAUUAGAGUAGUUGAGGAACAAAUUAAUUAUCAUAACUACUAUUUUCUAAUAAUAAUAAUUAUAUCUACUAAUUAUUGAAAUUUCUUUAUUAAUAAAUUUAACUAUUAUUAUUAUUAUUAUUAUUAUUAUUAUUAUUAUUAUUAUGUUGUAUUGUAAUUGCCAAAAUAUGUGGCAACUUACAACAUGCUAUGAGUCCAUAAAUAUUGCAAAAUAUAUCCAAGAAUAAAUAAAAUUAAUCCAAAUCCAAACCAGGGCAAAACAAGUUUAGGAUUAUAUGAAGAACUACAUGAUGAACCAUACAAAACCUAGAAAAUCUAAUUGGCUUAACUAAAAAUAUAGCAGUGAAUGGCACAUGAUUACUAACAAAAUCACGAGCCUAGAGGUCAAAUAUAGCAAAAAACAGUUAGGUACACACUUGAGUCAAAUUUGCGGAGAAACAUCAAGAACAACAAACAGCUUCACUUAUAAAGAAUGAUUAGGUAUAAUUCGAAUCGUUAGCUUAUUUAAAUUAUGAGCCAAACUAUCAAAGGACUUUUUAUUGGACUAUCAAAGGAUUUUUUUUCCCUUCAUAUAUUGUAAUAAAAAGUUUUUAUUAAUAUAAUGUCAAUCCAUACUAUAUUAAAUAUUUGACUAAAUUAUAGCUUAAUGUAACUUAAUGUGAUAAAGUUUAAUAAAAUACAACUUAAUACAACAUAUAAUGACGAACCAAAUGCACCCAAAAAAUAAGAAUACUUGAAUUAAAUAGCAAGAUAAAAAUAAGAGUAUGAAAAAUUAUAAUACUUUUUGUAAUAGAGCUAUUCAAUUAAGAAAAAAAGUACCAUAAUAUGUAUAAAAAAUUGAAAUAAAAAGAGUGUAAAGUGUUAAAUGAAAUUUGAUAAUGAGUAUAAAAAAUAACCUAAUAUUUAAAAAAAUUAUAAUUAAAAAGAGUGUAAGGUUUUAAAUUAAACGUGUUAAUGAUUCAAUUUGAAAAUAGUAAAAUGGGGGUACCGUGAUACAUGGGCAACAUUGAGUAAAAUAUUUAUAAAUAUUAUAUUACAUAAGGUGCUAACUAAAAUGUAACUUUGGAUGCAGGUAGAAAUGUUAAAUAAAAGUGAAUGAAAGGAGUUAUAUAGAAAUUUGUCACAAAAGACAACAGAAGUAGUAUGAUACUACUGUUGUAACAUAACUGAACCCCACUUUCUUAUUGUUAUUGUUUUGUCAGAUUGAGGACAAUUGACACAUGCUUAUGAACUUUACUUGGUGGACCCCUGAAUUAUUUGUAAGUAAUUAGAUUUUCAAAUAAAUAAAUAGGACCCCGCAAUGCAUGCACCACACCUGUCCGGCAUAUGGAGAAAAAGCAUGCAAAUAUUUGUGUUUGGUAGCUAGCUAACCAAUCAGGAGCUGGCUAAGUUGGAUCUGUAUGUUACAGAAUCUGUAACUUAGCCAGCUCCUAAUAAAUAUUAUAAUUUACAGCAAUGCUAUUUUGUCCGUAGUGCUAGUGUCUGAUUGCCGUUUUAGUUUUGCCGAUUUGGGCGCCACCAAAGAUAGGAUAAAGAAAGCAUUAUUUCCUUAAAUAAUAUUUUGCGUAGAUUAUUUUUUUUUUUAAUUUUGUUAUACGCAUUGUUACUGAUAUUAACUAAGAUAUUAUAAUUAUAAUAUUUAUAAUUAUACUAAAUAAUUAAAACCACCGUUAUAUAUUAACCCACUAAAAUACUUGUUCAUAUACUUUAAACCUUUUCUAAUAUUUGAAGGGCGCCUACUCCACUCAUAUUUUAUAAAUGAGAGAUUGUCUCACUCAAUUAAUUAGUAAUUGAGUGAGCACUGAAACUAACCUAUAUAAUACUUUUAUAAAAAAUUAAAUUUUUACACUCAAUAUUAUAAAUACAAGAUUUUUUUCGUUAGACCAAAUAUCCAUUGGUACGUAGAUUAUUCUCAAUCGUCUGUUCCGGUCUCGGUCUGGUGAAAAAAUCAAAUUAUGUUUUUGCUUCUUUUUAUCUUUUAACUUAAGCAAUCGAUGGCGAGUUUCAUUCGUAAUUUGCUUCCUCCACUUGCCGAUCGGUUCGUGGCAGGUUCGUGGCAUUAAAGCCAAAUAAUGUUGUUAUUAUCAUCACAUCGUCAAUUGAUUUUUUUUUUUCAUACGGCUGUUUUGAGUUUGACGCCCGCAAUGAUGUCAGUGCCGUGCAUGUGCAUGAGUUGGCUGAUUGGCUCCCCCAUCUCUUUGCAAUUGCUCCAUUAAUUUUUGAACAUUUUUACAAUUUUGUUGGGAUACCACACAACACCCAUACAAGUAUAGUCUCCGUAAAUUACAUUUAAUAUAAAUUACAGCUAAUAAAAUUCAUCAACCGCCCCAUUUGGCUCCACGGCUCUGUUACCCAUUUUUACACUGAAAUUUUUUAUUGUAACUUAAGAAAAUUUCAUACAUAUAUUCAUAGUACAGUUUAAAAAUCUAUUCAAAAAUUUUCUUCCACACUAAUAGUAGAGAGAUGUUUACCAUAUCCAAAUAUUUCAAAGGACAAUAAACCCACGUUGGAGAUCAAAUUCAAGUUUUCAAAAUUGACGGCGUGACUUCUACCACUAGGUCUUCGCCCUGGUCGUUCAAUGGAUGCUCCAUUAAUUAGACCUCAAUUGAACAUCAACUUUUUCAACACGGAGUGAUAAAGAAAAGAAAAAAAAAAUCAAAACCAAAUUUUAAAAUUAAAUUAUAUAACUCGAUUUGAUAGAAUCACAGGCAUGAGAAUCAUGAGACUCCAAUUUUUUUAUUUUACUUUUUGUAAAAAAAAAAAAAGUCAAAAAACACGUCUGACUCUAUGCUUUAAUAGUGAGGGGGAUGUUUUGUUUGCGUGGUCAUUGCCAAAUUGACAUUUGAUACGACUUAUUCAUCUACGGUCCACAAGAGUAACCACCACAUUUUUUUUUCCCUCGCCAAUUACUAGCCAUGUUUUUUUUUUUUUUUACACAAUAAUGCUAACGUUAGAAUCUUAAUAUUUGAAUUUAAAAGAUCUCAAUAUUUUUUUUUACUAAGUACUAAUUGAUAUGAUAUUUCAAUAAAAACUGUCGCAUUAUGUAAAAUAUUAAUAACUAAUUAAUCUGAUGUGGUACUUAUAAAUAAAUUGGCUAAUUAACAAUUCUUUUUUUUUUUUUAGAUUGUCUAAUUACCAAUUCAAUAUCACAUUAAAAUUCAGAUAAAUAUUUUUUGUCACACAAUUUUAAAAGCCUGUUGGGGAUUACUUUUGGAAGGUUCGAAAGCAAUUUUAAAAAAUUAAAAGCUUAUUUUAGUAUUUUGUAGACUUUUUAAAAAAUCACUUUCAAUAAAAUCUCACAUCCUAUGGUAGAGUUUGAAAAGUAAGGAACGGAUAAUUUUUUUUUUUUAAAAAAGGAGUAGCAUUUUGAAAUUUGAUUUUAAGAUAUAGAUUCAUAAUUAAAACAAUUCUGUGUGUAUUAUAAAAAUAUAAAAUUAUCCUUAUUCAAUUAGAAAAAUAAAAUUAUUAAAUUUAAAGAGAUUAUUGUUAUUACUAAUUAUAUUGAGAUAACAAAAUAAAAGAUUUAUUUCCUGUCUGCUGUACGGCCAAGGCGGAUGUACGGUACAGCAGAUAAAUAUGUAAAAAAUUUAUUCAACAUAAUAUCUAUUUUUAUUAUUUACAUUUUUACAACAGUUUAAUAAUAAAAUUUAUUAAAAACAUAUAAUGUUUUUAAAAUCUAUUACAAUAUUUUUAAAAAUAUAUUUUACUAAAUAUAGUUAAAAAUAUUUAUCUAAAGGUCCAAUAUUACUAAACUGACCCCAAAACAAUAGAGUAGAUCGUAAACACAAAAUUACAGUAAUAAUGAGAUGGAUGAGUCAUAGAAGUUACCAGUCAGUACAAGUUCCCCCCGCGCAAUCAUGAUGCCACGUUUUUUUGUUAUAUAUAAAUACGCGCACACACAUACAUAUCUGGUAUUAAAUAGAUGGCAUGCAUUUUUAGUAACACACGGUAACAAAGCAAAAUCAUCUGCGUCUGCGAGUGAGAAGAAGAAGGAGGAGAAGGACAAGGAGAAGGAGAUUCUCUUUUUAUGUAUGUAUGUAUGUAUGUUGUAUUUUUUUUUUAAAUUUUUUUGCAUGAGAUGCCAUGUGAGACGUGACGAUACGAACAUAUUCUGACACAUAUGUGUAUAUAAUUGUUACCCAUUUUUAAUGAACUGCUGAUGAGUUGUAUUUGUAUUUUGACAGACGCAGAAGAGUUUCUUGAGCUGAGAUUCAAUGGCUGCAGGGGAGGAGAAGUUGAGAGAACCAUUUUUGAAGAACGAGAAGAGAUAUUAUGAGAAUUGCCCAGGGUGUAAAGUUGAUCAACUUAAAGAGACGAAAAGCGGUUUGCCUAUUACGGAACUGUUUUCUAUAUGGAUUAUUGUGCUUUGCACUGGUAAAUUUUGGCUUUUUGCUUUAAAGGGCUGUUUUCUUUUUUCCUUUUUUUCCCCGGUUUAUCUUGCAAAUUUAUCAAGUUUUAAUGAUUUUUUUGGUCAAACAGGGGAUCGGUGAUUUUUAUUUUCUGCAUUACAUGUUUCUUGGAGUGUAGUGCUUUUGGCAUUAUUAUUGUGGUUGGUUUAGAGGUUGUGAGUGAAUUGGGCUCAUUGAAGGAGAUUAAUUGAGUAAUAAAGCGAAUUAAAACGAUUUCCUUCGAGUUUGAGUUCGCAUUUCUACCUCAAUUUGAUAGUUUCUACCCAUUAGGUUCUUAUAAAACUUAACGGAGGUAGUUGGUAUUACUCCUCUGGGUUUGGCAUAACAAAAGCUAAGCAGAAAGGUGGUGGUUCCUAGUCACCGUGAUGACAAUUUUUUAGCUUGCUAAGUUAAUUGAGUGAUUGUUGUGUACACUGCAUAAAGUGUUGGAAACAAGUUCUGUUGUUGAUUUAAUGUAGUGUCUCUUUUUGUUUAUGGUUGUUACUUCAUCAUUGCAAGAGCUCAAUGCCCUGUUGCAGCACUUGGUUGGUUUGCUGCAUCACUUGUUUGAGUAGCUGUUAAACUUUUCUUACAUUGUGCGAUUAAUCUUGUAUAUAGUAUCCCUUAUGGCCUUCUUCUAUUCAAUUUUUCAGCGCUGCCGAUAUCAUCACUCUUCCCGUUCCUGUACUUUAUGGUGAGUUAAACUGCUUUGUUGUUCUAUAUACUGAGCAGAAGAGAUAAUCUGUUUCAUAUUUUUCUAUAAUUAGUUUAAUAAUGUCAUUGUUCUACAUUUGAUCUCUUUUCCUGGACAGGCUUUUCCGCAUUUAGUAGGAUCAACUUUAGUCUUAUUGUAUUCUCAAUGAUUUUGCUUCUAGUUUCAUGCAAGGGUUCAUAUAAUCUGCUGCAAUGCUUUAUAGAGAUCCCUACAUUAGAUGUGAAAUUAUUAGCUUGAGAAGCUAGAAAUAUAAGAACACAAAGCUUAAUCUGUCAUAUUUGAUCAUUGAUUGCACUUUUAAAGUAGUCUUUUUGUUUAUUACCUAUUUUCAGAUUAGGGAUUUUCAAAUUGCGAAAAGAGAGGAAGAUAUUGGCUCCUAUGCUGGCUAUGUGGGUGAGCUUGUUUUCUGUUCUUUCUCUUUCAUGACACGAAAUCUAAUACACUACUGUGCUUAUAGCGUCAUUCAUUAUCAUUUUUCAGUUCUUCAAGAAUUUAUCCUAACAAACCUUUUGAUACCUUGUAGGGUCUUCAUUUAUGUUUGGCAGAGCUUUGACAUCUGUUUUCUGGGGAUUAGUGGCUGACCGCUAUGGUAGAAAACCUGUUAUAAUAAUGGGGACUGCUUCAGUGUAAGUGACUGCUAUUUUCAUAUCAAACUGAAAAAUGAUACUUCGGCAAUUAGUUCUGGAUUACUUUAUUUUCAGACACUGCAGAUCUAUUCUUUCUCACAACGUUCUGACUUAAAAUGGUCUCAGGGUUAUUUUCAACACUCUCUUUGGGCUCAGUGUGAAUUUUUGGAUGGCUGUACUAACAAGGUUUCUUCUUGGGAGUUUGAAUGGCUUACUUGGACCAAUAAAGGUAUUCACAAUUCGUACUGUAUGUCAUUUCUUCAUUGGUUUUCUGAUUUCCUGUGAAUAUCUAUGCUUAACUUCUUUCAUGACCAGGCAUAUGCAUGUGAAAUAUUCCGUGAGGAGCACCAAGCUUUAGGACUGUCAACGGUGAGCUUACAGGUCUAUGUAUGAUUUAAGAUCUUAAAGAAAAUUAUUUCAGCGUCAGAAUUGAGAACUAUGUGUGAUUGAUUCAGGUUAGCACAGCAUGGGGAAUAGGAUUGAUUAUUGGUCCAGCACUAGGUGGUUUUCUGGCUCAGGUACUCCAAUGCUUUGAUCUUGUGUGCUGGCAAAUACAUGUGGCUGCAUCCUUUUCAUUUUCCUCCUUUUGCAGUAAAGUUCUAAUGUUUCUCUUAAUUUUUGAAUCAGCCUGCAGAGAAAUUUCCAAAUUUAUUUUCAAGCGAAUCUCUGUUUGGAAAGUAAGUGAAUUUUUACUGCUUAGUUAUUCUUUUGAACUUUUUUCUGGAGGGUUCUUUAGGGAUGAUGGUCUUCUGGAAAAUGUUGUGCAGAUUUCCUUAUUUCUUGCCUUGUCUCUGCAUAUCACUUUUUGCUUUUGGGGUAACCAUUGCUGCUUUCUGGCUUCCGGUAUGUUAAUUUUUGUUAUUUAUUUCUAGAGAAAUAUCUAUCAAAUAUUUGUCAGGCUAUAGAAUUGUCGAUUUGACCAUUUAGUUUUCUUAAGUGGGAUGUACUAUUAAGUUACUCUUUCAUAAAUAUCAAGAUUGUCUGAAUGUGUAAUAACUAGUGUGAGUUUGAAGUUGAUCUCAUAAGUUAUUCUCCGUCAGCUUCUUCUUUGACAGCUAGAUGUGACUUUUCUCUGCCUUAAUGUUUUGUGAGUCUCUCAGGAGGUAAAGCGUGUAUAUGCUGGACUGAAAGGAGUGCAGUAGGAGUUAUAUGCACAAUGACCUUUUUUAAAUAGGAAUUUGCUUUUCUGAUACCUUACCUUUGCCUGAUCUAUCUUCACACCUCUCACUAUUCCUCAAGAGUCAUAGAUCUUUGAUAUUACAACAAUCAUGAACAAAAUUGUAAUAUAUUUGGGAGUGUUUAGCCUCUAAUUCUCAAUUUCUCUAACGUAUUACAAUAAUUGCCCAAAAAAGUUGUUUUCUCUUCAUUUAUGCUCAAGUUCCUGAUUUUUGAUUUGCAUAAAAGAUCCAUGGGUAUCUUGGGGUUAGAAAGGUUAUAGAGAACCAUUAAAUUUUAAAACAUCUUUGUUCAUUGUUUGUUGAGUUUUUGGAGACAUAUUAAUGUAUGUAUUACACAUGCUUGUCUCAUAUUUACUAAUCUGAAACCAUAACAUGCUAUCAGUUUGUCCUAAAAUAUGUUUGGUUAUUGCAGGAGACAUUGCACAGGCACAAUGAUGAUGAUGAUUCAUGCGAUGUCUCAUAUGAUGCUUUGGAAUCUGCAUCUGCAGAAGUUAAAGAAGAAGAAGGAAGAGAGGCAACACCUAAGAAAAGCCUCUUAAAGAAUUGGCCCUUAAUGUCUUCUAUAAUUGUCUAUUGUGUUUUCUCACUUCAUGAUAUGGCUUAUUCAGAGGUAUAAUUCUACUUCAUUUAAGAUAUUUUUGGCGUAUUCAUUGAAUUAGUUCUUAGUUAUCAAGAUGUUGUCUUUUUCUUCAUUUUUCCCCAUGAAUAUCAGUGUUAAAAUUGAAAUGCCUUUUGUUCUGCCCUUAAUAAUGAUCUGUAUGUCUGCAUCCAUUUUUAGAUAAUAACAUAUAUAUGGCUAUAAGUAUUUGUCCUACUUGUGAUGUGUUGGAUAUUGUCACUGUUUACAUAAUCUUUCAAAAUUUGAUUUCUUAUGACCAUUCAUGCUACUAUUUCAUAUCCAAAGCUUCUAGCUAUGAAGGGGUAUUAAUACUAGUGUAGUUGCGCUGGGCUUCAUAUGCAAAGAAACUAUAUUUCUAUUUCUAUUGGUUAUCUUUCUUCUAUCUGUGUACAUUUUAUUUUUACUGAUUAUCAGACCGGCUAAAUGUUGUGACUUUUUUUCUUCUACAGAUAUUUUCAUUGUGGGCCAACAGCCCUAAGAAGCUUGGAGGUCUGAAUUACUCAACUCAAAUGGUUGGUGAAGUUCUUGCUAUAACAGGUACAAAAGUGGACACUCAUAUUCUGCCUUUUAAAAUUGAUUAUUGUAUUUUUCUUUAAUUUUUUUUUACUAUUCAAAUCGAACGAACUCUCUUAGGUUUGCAGACCACUUAUGAGGAGGCAUUUUCUGUGCUACCAAUGUUUUGUUAAUGGAUAACGGAUGCAUUUAUUGUGAUAGAUCACUGAUAAGAUGGAUACCUGAUAAGAUGGACAUUAAUAAAAAAUGAAGAAAGACAUUACAGGAGUAGUUAACAUGCUAGUUCUUUUGUUCUGUCUUGCUCGAAAAAGACAAUUAACUCCUUGACCACCAAUCUCUGCAAUUAUCAAAUCUAAAUUGUCACUGAAAAGAUGAAUUCUAUCAUCAAGAAUCAGUCACAUGAUGAGUCAAACAAAAAAAAAAAAAAAAGGAAAUCAGUCACUUGUACUGACGUGAACUACUAGCCUUUUGAUCUUAGCUGUGAAAGUGAAACCCUUCAAUCCAUGUGUUUUGAACCCUUAAAACUGCCACUGUCUCUGUCUUCAAUAGCUUUCCUUUUAGUUCUGUGAAAGAAAUAUUGUCAGCCCUUUUUCCUUCAGCAUUUCUUCGUUUACCAUCUCUUUCUUGACAUUCUACGAGAACAAUCUUUGUGAAAAGGCAGAAUCUCUUUUCAUGGAAGGUGUCGCAUAGAGAAGACAAGGACCUUGUUAGAGUCUACAUACUAUUAUAUUCUUUUCUUUUUGAAUUUUAGGGCUUAAAUACUAUUAUUGGGCCCUUACUUAUGGCCUUAAGCUUUUAUGUAAAGUGGCUCUUGACAUGGAAUCAAAACUAGCUUGAUUAAGUGGCCUUGUAUUUUAAUCCUUCUGCUACGUUGAUUAAGUUAUAUAAUAGGUUGUAUUUGUAUUAUUGUAUCUUCAAGUGCUCUUUUCUAAGUUUUAAAAUUUAUGGAUUGCUCUACAAAUAUGCUUGACAAUGGUCCUCUUAUUGAAAUAACAGGUUUCAGCCUCCUUGUUUUCCAACUUUCUCUAUACCCAUUUUUGGAGAGGAUUCUUGGGCCAAUAAUGGUAGCACGCAUUGCAGGGGUAAAUUUUGAGCGCAGUGUAGCAUUUAUUUAGUUUUUUUAUUUGAAAGAGCAUUUAGUUAGUUUAACAUAUAUGUUUGAAAACUUUUUUCUUUAUGCUAUUGGUUACGCAAUUUCUUCUUUACAGGUAUUGACCAUUCCUCUUUUGACAAGUUACCCUUAUAUAGCAAUGUUAUCGGGGUUCGGCCUUGCCUUCUUGUUAAAUUGUGCUUCUGUGGUGAAGAAUCUUUUAUCCGUAAGUUGAUAUACUUCUUAGACUAUGAUUAUGCUGUGAACUAUUUUCUAGUAAUUGACUACUGAUAUCAAGCAGUUCUAAUUGGUGAAAAUUAAUGGGGUUAAUUGUCAGAUGUUUACAAACUACUUGUUUCCUCGUCAAAUAAUUCCUGCACUCUUAAAUGGAAUAUAACUAGGUUAUACAUCUUGACAUCUGUAUCUGUAAUUUGUACUUCAGUUGAUUAGUCAAUAAGAGGUGUGAUUCUUCUGGAAUGACUAAAUUAUACUUUCGGUAUGCUUUCUGAGCAUAGGUCUGUAGCAAUUAGAUAACUAUAGAUUGUAGAAAGUGGAUGUAUUCCCCUUAGAUACGUUGAUUAUCUGGUUGUUUCGUUGCAGUAAGAAUGAGUAUAAGUUAUGAAAAUGGUCCCCUUAGAUACGUUGAUUAGCUGGUUGUUUCAUUGCAGUAAGAAUGAGUAUAAGUUAUGAAAAUGGGAACAUUUUCCAGAGCAAUUCCCACUCAUCGCACAAUGAGCAUAAAUUAUAAAAAGUAAAAUUAUAUUGGACAAUAUGUAUCCAUGCAUGAGGAAGCAUAUUUCACGUUUGUGAGAGGUCCGCUAAUUCUCGACUUAUUGAUCUCACUAGAAGUCUGGAACAGUGUCUUUUCAUCUUUCUGGACUCAGAAAUUGGAGUGAUUUAGUCUGUCAAUAAUGCUCUGAAUUAAUUCAGAUUCCAUAUUUCUAAAAUCAUUGCCUUCAUAUCUUGUUUAUAAGUGUUUGUAGUAACUUUUUGAUUUUUUAUAACUAGGUAUCUAUCAUAACUGGAUUAUUCAUUCUGCAAAACAGAGCAGUGGUAAGAGUUUUAACCUAUACUUUAAGUUGUCAUUUCUGGUUUGUCAAGUUAUGGUUCGUCUAAAGAGGAGCUGAUCUGAAAACGUAUGGCUCAACAGGACCAGGAUCAAAGAGGAGCUGCUAAUGGAAUUGCUAUGACUGGAAUGUCACUUUUCAAAGCUGCUGGUCCAGCUGGAGGAGGUGCUCUGUAAGUGUCCUAUUGAUUUCUCCCAAUUGUUUUAGGUGAUAAUGAAUCUGCUAGAAAUGAUUAAACUGUAUGUGGACAAUGUAAAUUAACUCGUAAGUGCAUUCCUAGCAUGAACUGAUUAAAGACACUAUCAAUAUGUCCUGUAAUGAUUAAAGACUCUACCUAGUUGGAAGGGAGCUUAACUCCAGAUAUGAGAUGAAUCUCAAUUUUAUAUAUGUUAGCUAUAUCCAAUUUUAUAGUUAAGGCUCAGUUAUACUAUUGUCCUAGGUUUGCUAAACAGUUGCAUUAUGUGAGUCUUAUAGAUUCUUUAAGCCUGAGAAACUAUUCAAGGUCGAAUGAGUAGUUAGAUAGCAUUUUCCCUCUUUUUCUAUCAUAAAACAGACCAUGAGAUGCCUGUUUGUAAGCAAACAAUUGUUUUGGUCAUUUCGCUUACCCUUAAAUCAAGAUAUAUUAUUUUCUUAAAAAGAAUGUAACACAUGAUUUGAUUGGUCAUGGUUAUAUAAUGUGGCUUUUUGCAGAUUUUCAUGGGCACAAAAGCGUCUGGAUGCUUCCUUCCUCCCAGGUAUGAUGCCAAAGAAAACUCUCAUUAUUAGUCUCAUGUUGGCUAAACUAUAAAAGUGAACUUGAAUAUAUCCUGAAAUAGAGCACUGAUUGUGUGGUUUCCGAGAUGACAUAGAUGUAGGACGCAGAUUUAGACUUGCGUGCCAAGUUUGUUACAAUGUUGCAUUAGGAUAUUAUGAAGAUCGAAUUUCUUAGUUGCGUAAAUUUUGAGUGCAGGUUCCCAGAUGGUUUUCUUCGUUUUAAAUGUGGUCGAGGCAAUUGGAGUAUUGAUGACAUUCAAGCCGUUUUUAGCUCAGCGCCACGACUAGGGGAAGAUCUUUUAAUUUUCAGCCAUUUUAAGUUUUGGGAAUGCUUCAACCAAAUUGAUUCUUUUGGGUUCCACAUCAGUUUUUGGGGCGGCUAUAAACUUGUGAUGAUGAUGAUGGUGCUCAUACCAGUUGAUUUUAUUGCUAAUUUUCUUUGUGCUGAAUAGCUAUUACAGGCUAUUCUUAUUGCCAUUUUUACAAUGUUACUAAUAUUUGUUGGUAUAGAGUGCCCAUUCAUUAUUGUUUAGAGCCUCUUCAUUGUAGAUAUGAACUCCUCACUCCUGUACGCUCAAAUAUCAAUAUUAUAAAUUAUUAGGGUAAUUAAUUGAGUAAAUGUUCGUUUAUUCCUUAUAUUUUGAUUUAAGUGUUUACUACUUAUUUCCUAUAUUUCAAAAAAUAAAUCAAACACUCUUACUAUUAAUUAUGUUAUAUUUUUAUCCUUAUUUGUUUAUUUUCUUUUACAAUAAUAUUCUUAUAACGAUAUUCUUGACAUUAAUUAAUUUAUUUACAAAAAUAUUAAUGACCAAAUUAACCAAUAAACACAAGUACAAAAGAUCUAAUAUAUUUUGUAUUUGUCAAACAAUCUUACUAAUAAUUAUUUAUAAAUAAAUUAAUAUCAACCAACUUAAAGAAUGUUUAAUAUGUUUACAAUAAUUUUCUAAUAAUUAUUUUGCCAAAUUAAUCUUAAAAGUAAAGUAACAAUAUAAAAGUUUUCAAAUCUCCUUGGGCUUUGAAUGGUUUACUUGGACCAAUAAAAGUGAUUCAUCUUUGUUUAUUUUACAGGACAAGGGAAUGCUCAUUUUGCUUUUGAUAUAUGUAGAUGAUGUUUUAAUAACAGGAAAUAACUCUUCUGUUAUUCAAUCGAUCAUCUCAACAUUAAGUACAAAUCUUGCACUGAAAGACCUUGGGACACUUCGAUAUUUUCUUGGGAUAGAAAUCAAAUAUUCCCAAAAUGGGGUAUUUUUAUCUCAAAUUAAGUAUACACAAGAUUUACUAUCAAAGGCAAAGGUGCUUUGAUUGUACUCCUGUGGCAACACCGAUGGCUAUAAAAACAACUACAAAUCUUGAGGACAGUGAACUUGUGAAUGUUACAGAAUAUCGAGGCCUAGUUGGUAGCUUACAAUAUUUGACCUUUACAAGGCCGGAUAUAACAUAAGCUGUAAAUAAAGUGUGCCAGCGCUUCAAUGAUCCAACCAAGGUAGAUCUCAAAGCAGUAAAAAGACUUAAAUUCCUUAGGAAUUGCUUUCUUUGGCAAGCAGAGCACAAGAGACCAGAAACUUGUAUUGAAAAUAAAACUUGAAUUGAAUUCUGUUUACAGAUCAUCGUCUAUUUAUACAUAAGAAAACAAAAGUGACAGCUAGCUAAAAAUAACAAAUUCAGAUAAAAUAAAAUAAUCCAGCAAUCAUUAGCCAAUGAUAUGAUGCUUCCAGAAUCUUCAUCCAUUUAUUCCAUGUGCUGGUAUUUCUCUGUGUAGCAGUUUUGCCACCUCAUUGAAGUUGCAUCAGCUGGUAAAUAGGUGUAGCUUAGGUGGCAUGCCAAUGUGUCACUGAGCUCAGCUGAUGAUUUGUCAUGGUCAUGGCUGCUAUCUUCAACAAUACUAAGGUUAUAUUAUCCAUCAGCAAGUAUGUAUAAAAUAAUUUUGUCUUUUUUAUUAGAAUUGUUGUAAUUCUUUUUUACUUUUCCUGAAUUGUAACAUCUGGUGUCUAUAAUGAGUGGAUAUUAUCCAUCAGCAAGUAUGUAUAAAAUUAUUUUGUCUUUUUUAUUAGAAUUGCUGUAAUUCAUUUUUACUUUUCCUGAAUUGUAACAUCAGGUGUCUAUAAUAACUGGAUUGUUCCCUCUGCAAAACAGAUCAGUGGUAAAUAUAUUUUCUUUUGUUUGUUUAGUACAUUUCCAUGCUUUCAGCUUUUUCAAAUUUUGUAUGUGCCAAAGUUUAAAUUAAUUGGUUGGUUUAUGGUAUAAUAAGAGGUAUGAUAAUUUACUAAUGAAAUUUCUCACUAGUUUGUGAAUUACUUGGUGCUAAUUGCUUAAACUAAAGUGCAGGUAACCAGAUGAUUUUUUUCAUUCUGAAUUCGGUGGAGGCACUUGGAGUAAUAUUGACAUUCAAACCGUUUCUAACUCAACGUGCCCCAUGAGUGGAGAAAAGAUGCAUCUGUUGAAAUAUUCAAAUAUAUAUCAAGCAAAUUAAAGCUUUCAAAAUCUUUCAACAAUUUGAUUGUUUGAUGUGGUUGCCACUUGCCAUAUUUUGUGUUACUUUUCUAAAGGCUUAAAUAUGAAAAUGGUUGUUGGUGCUCACGCCAAUUGAUUGCUGGUAACAUUAAUUGUGCAGUACUUGUCAGAACUACCACAAUUUAUCUUCACAAUGAUGCUACCUAGAAAGAAAAUUUCAUGUUAAGUAAAAUAUUGAAGCCAUAAAGAGUCUUAUUCCAGAGCCUUAUUAAGUACUAAGUUUUCUGCCAUGCUUUCAAAGUUUACAAAUUCGAAGCUUGGGGAUUCUGUAACAAUGGAGGAUAAAAAUUAUAUAAGAAUAUUAUUUUGUACAAUUUUCAUACAACCAGACAGAAGCGAGCAUAAUUUUUUGAUCAUAACUCAGAUCAAAAGACCUUCAAUGAUGUAUAAUAUGCACAUAAAGCUAGCUCAGAACCAGACAUUAGAACUUAUGAUGAAAGGGAAACAUAGAUGUUGAGAUUGAAAACAUAGAGAAAUUUUUUUAAAAAGUCUGAAAUUUUAUUAAUAGAAGUUUGAAUAACAAAAUUAGGGUAUUGGACGCUUUUUACACAAUUUCUAAAUAUUAUGUAUUUAUCAAAAUAGGCAAACUUAAAAUAUUAUUACAUAAUAACGUUUUCCUAACUGAAAUAAGAAAAAUAAAAUAAAUCAUACUUAAAAUCUUAUAUUUAGAGAAAAAAAUAUAAAAAUAUUGAAAAUAAUAAAAAAAAAAGAAAAUAUCUUAAACUUUGUAAAAUAACUAUGAAAUAAACAGAAUUUCUUGCCGAAUAGAUACCCGCUCAAGUUAUGAUCUAGGAGUGAUAUCCUGCUCAUCCUAUGCAACCAUCAGCUGCAUCAACUUCAUUCCAAAAUUAACAAAUAAACCAACUGACGCAUUGCAAAUAAUAAGAUGAAACGAUAAAAUAAACCUAGAGAUCAAACAACACAAGGUAAUAUAUUAAAAAGCCUAUGGGAUCAAAACACAUCGUACUAUGUCGAGAGAGAUGACGACUCCUCCAACAGCAGAAAAUAAAUUCUUUCAUUCAUUAAUUUAAAGUAAAUUUGGUGCUCCAUCUUCUUCUCCGUCACCUAUUACCACCUCUGUCAUUGCCCUGCAUCCAGCUACCUUCAUUGAUACGAGCCGCACUAGACUUUCUGCUGUAGUGGACGGAUGUUACAAUUCCUUGCAAUGGAAAACCACCAAUUCUGUUAGAUUCCCAAAAAAUAUAGAUGAUCAUGGGAACAGACUUAAAUGCUUGUAAAAUAGUCUUAGAAUGUCAAGAUAUUUAAAAUGGAGUCCAGUUUGGAGUUGCUUCAAUGAUUAAGUCUGGACAGGAUUAACCAUUUUAUCAGUGCCUACUUCCCACUUGUUUCUAGCAGUAUCCGGCUUGAUUUAAGAAUUUCUCUUUGUAUGAACUAUAACCCAAUAGGAGAUAUUACCCAAAAAAAAAAAAAAACUUAUUUCAAAUGACGCACAGGAGAAGAGUUACCUGAAUCUUCAUCAGUAUCCAGACAUUCUACAAUCACAGAGUAAAGAGUUCUAACAGGAAAAACAGAGAAAACAACGUUCUUCUAUACUUCUCAUAAAACUAGACCAAAUUAGUCCCUUUCUUGGUAUCCAACGUUUUCAAACAAUAUUUCCACAAUAUAGUUUUUCAUAGCGAAGAGUUUUGCUUUGAUGGUUUAAGGAUUUGUUCUGGGCAUAAUGCUCUGAUUAGAUUUUGUUUAUUUUUAAUUUUUUAUCCGAUGAAUGAUUUUCAGCUGUUCUUAAUUAUGUGUUCAUAGGGAAGAGCAUUUGGAAAGAUCAUCAAAAAAAAAAAAAAAAAAAGUUUCCAAACAAAGAUAGGUGUGAAGCAAACCAAACUAAAUGAACAAACUAAAAUAACAGAACAGCAAUGAUGUUUUCAAGGAAUUAUAAAAUAUGAAGGCUUUUAAUGAAAUUUUAUCAUACAAAGUAUGCAAGGAAUUAUAAAAUUUUAGAAAACAAGGGGAACUCUCAAAAAAAGAAAAAAAGAAAAAAAAUACUCAAAUUAAACUAGACUAGAAGACAUUCAAUGAUGCAAAAUCUGUCCACAAAAGUCUGAACGAAUCAUUAAAAUUGCAUUCCAAAUUUAACAGUAAGCCGAUUGACCCAUUCUAAAUAAUUCAGAUGAAAUUGCGAAACAAGCCAUGAGAUCAAAUAAAUGAAAUAAAAAUUAAUUACCAGCUGAGGCUUUCUUCUAAAAAUUCACAACUCCCAAGUCAUAAGAAGCCUAUGAAAUUAGUAAUGGGUAGAGAUCACCGACUGCACCGCCAACAGCUGAAAAUAAAAUUCUUAUUCAUCAAUUUAAACUUUUACUUUACAACAAAUAUCUUAUCUAUAUUUUAUUAAAAAAACAAAUUUUGUAAAAUGUUUCCAUGGGAGAUAGAGAGUACUAUGUAUAUCCGUACCUUUUCAGCAUGUAAUUGUUGUAUGGUUGUGUUUAGAUCAUUAUUGGUCCAAAGCAAUCGAUCCUCUGUCUCUCCAUACCAGACAUUUACUCUCGGAGGCGUGAUUGAUUCUCCUGUAGUAAAAAUCUUCAUCUUGGGACAACCAAUCACAUGCAAAUCUUGUAAAGAUGGGUAUUUGAAGGUGUAAUUGGCAGAGCAAAAACUUGUGAGGCUAUCUAAAUCAAACAGUUCCAACGUCUUCAAUUUGCGGAAAACAAUCUCUUCUUUUUCAACAAAAAGUUUAUAUAAUUAUUAAUCUACCACAUUGAUCCGUUAGUCUAGACUAGCAAAGAUUAUUGUAUAAUAAAAGUUUUUAAUUUAUUGAGUAUUAAAUGAUUUUUUAUAUGUUAAUUUUAGAGGUAAAAAAGAAAUUAGGGAAAAAAGGUUGAUUUAUACUGACUCGAAAUUAUUUUAUUGCACAGUAAUAAAUUACUAAUUUAUUUUGUAAGUUCUUCUAUAUGGAAAGACUCAAGAUUCUUUUACAAAUGCUAAACCUAAAAAAGUUUAUAUAAUUAUUAAUCUACCACAUUGAUCCGUUAGUCUAGACUAGCAAAGAUUAUUGUAUAAUAAAAGUUUUUAAUUUAUUGAGUAUUAAAUGAUUUUUUAUAUGUUAAUUUUAGAGGUAAAAAAGAAAUUAGGGAAAAAAGGUUGAUUUAUACUGACUCGAAAUUAUUUUAUUGCACAGUAAUAAAUUACUAAUUUAUUUUGUAAGUUCUUCUAUAUGGAAAGACUCAAGAUUCUUUUACAAAUGCUAAACCUAAAAAAGUUUAUAUAAUUAUUAAUCUACCACAUUGAUCCGUUAGUCUAGACUAGCAAAGAUUAUUGUAUAAUAAAAGUUUUUAAUUUAUUGAGUAUUAAAUGAUUUUUUAUAUGUUAAUUUUAGAGGUAAAAAAGAAAUUAGGGAAAAAAGGUUGAUUUAUACUGACUCGAAAUUAUUUUAUUGCACAGUAAUAAAUUACUAAUUUAUUUUGUAAGUUCUUCUAUAUGGAAAGACUCAAGAUUCUUUUACAAAUGCUAAACCUAAAAAAGUUUAUAUAAUUAUUAAUCUACCACAUUGAUCCGUUAGUCUAGACUAGCAAAGAUUAUUGUAUAAUAAAAGUUUUUAAUUUAUUGAGUAUUAAAUGAUUUUUUAUAUGUUAAUUUUAGAGGUAAAAAAGAAAUUAGGGAAAAAAGGUUGAUUUAUACUGACUCGAAAUUAUUUUAUUGCACAGUAAUAAAUUACUAAUUUAUUUUGUAAGUUCUUCUAUAUGGAAAGACUCAAGAUUCUUUUACAAAUGCUAAACCUAAAAAAGUUUAUAUAAUUAUUAAUCUACCACAUUGAUCCGUUAGUCUAGACUAGCAAAGAUUAUUGUAUAAUAAAAGUUUUUAAUUUAUUGAGUAUUAAAUGAUUUUUUAUAUGUUAAUUUUAGAGGUAAAAAAGAAAUUAGGGAAAAAAGGUUGAUUUAUACUGACUCGAAAUUAUUUUAUUGCACAGUAAUAAAUUACUAAUUUAUUUUGUAAGUUCUUCUAUAUGGAAAGACUCAAGAUUCUUUUACAAAUGCUAAACCUAAAAAAGUUUAUAUAAUUAUUAAUCUACCACAUUGAUCCCUUAGUCUAGACUAGCAAAGAUUAUUGUAUAAUAAAAGUUUUUAAUUUAUUGAGUAUUAAAUGAUUUUUUAUAUGUUAAUUUUAGAGGUAAAAAAGAAAUUAGGGAAAAAAGGUUGAUUUAUACUGACUCGAAAUUAUUUUAUUGCACAAUAAUAAAUUACUAAUUUAUUUUGUAAGUUCUUCUAUAUGGAAAGACUCAAGAUUCUUUUACAAAUGCUAAACCUAAAAAAGUUUAUAUAAUUAUUAAUCUACCACAUUGAUCCCUUAGUCUAGACUAGCAAAGAUUAUUGUAUAAUAAAAGUUUUUAAUUUAUUGAGUAUUAAAUGAUUUUUUAUAUGUUAAUUUUAGAGGUAAAAAAGAAAUUAGGGAAAAAAGGUUGAUUUAUACUGACUCGAAAUUAUUUUAUUGCACAAUAAUAAAUUACUAAUUUAUUUUGUAAGUUCUUCUAUAUGGAAAGACUCAAGAUUCUUUUACAAAUGCUAAACCUAAAAAAGUUUAUAUAAUUAUUAAUCUACCACAUUGAUCCGUUAGUCUAGACUAGCAAAGAUUAUUGUAUAAUAAAAGUUAUCAAUUUAUUGAGCAUUAAUUUAUCGAUAUUUUGUCAUAUUUUUCAAAGUUAAAAAUAAGCUAUAGAUAAAAAAUCUAGAAAAUGGCUUCAUACCUUUUCCAAUGGCAAUAGGGGCUGUUGUGCAGGAGGAAUACCAAGUUGAUCAUUCCCAUUAUUCUGCGAUAAAUCUGCAGCGAAUAUCUUUAAUUUGUCACAACCAUNNNNNNNNNNNNNNNNNNNNNNNNNNNNNNNNNNNNNNNNNNNNNNNNNNNNNNNNNNNNNNNNNNNNNNNNNNNNNNNNNNNNNNNNNNNNNNNNNNNNNNNNNNNNNNNNNNNNNNNNNNNNNNNNNNNNNNNNNNNNNNNNNNNNNNNNNNNNNNNNNNNNNNNNNNNNNNNNNNNNNNNNNNNNNNNNNNNNNNNNNNNNNNNNNNNNNNNNNNNNNNNNNNNNNNNNNNNNNNNNNNNNNNNNNNNNNNNNNNNNNNNNNNNNNNNNNNNNNNNNNNNNNNNNNNNNNNNNNNNNNNNNNNNNNNNNNNNNNNNNNNNNNNNNNNNNNNCUGCUGUACGGCCAAGGCGGAUGUACGGUACAGCAGGUGUUGAAGUUAAUUAUCUCAUUAAUAAUAGUAUAAAAAGUUAAUCACUAAGAAACACAUAGCAAUAUUCUGGGAUAUAAUUUUAUAUCAUAACUUUGUAAGUGUAUAAUUACUCAUUAAAUUAACAAAAUUAUUUUAAAAUAUUUAGUUAAAAAAAUAAAUUAUAUUCUUUUUAUUUCAAAUAAUCUAUAAGUUAACUCAAAACAUAAUCAAGCUGAGAAUUAAAAUAAUGCCACUGUAUGAGAGGAUUUUUAUUUUUUUUCCCGAAGUUUCACUAGGAAAUUAUUGAUAUAUAGCUUUAUUCGGAUCAUCUCAGAUCAAACGACAAAUAAUUGAAAGACUAAACUAAAUAGACCAGCCAACAACUUUGUACAGCAGAGUUCAAAAAUUAAGGUCAUGGUAUUGAGGUGUUCUAUCUUCAAAAGUACGGUAUAGUGAUAAAAUAAAAACUAUUAGUCUUUGGUAAGAUAUGACUUUUAAAUAAUAAUUUUCACAAAAAUACAAAGAAUAUUUAUAAAGUACUUCUAUAGUGAGGAGACCCUCGCUUUGUUAAAGUGAAAAUAUCAAUAAUAUACAAGAAACAUAUAUUUUAACACAUUAAGAAUUGUAUCUUUUUAAUCUAUUGGUGUAUUGAAAUAUGUGUUAUUUAGUUUGUUAGUGAUAUCAUCACUUUGUUAAAAUAAGGAUGUCAGAACCAUUAUAUAUAAGAAAGUAAAUAUAUUUUUGUACGGUAUAAUAGUGUAAUAACAUCACCCGAGUAUAUCAUAUAGAGUAAUAGUUUUUGGAACUUUAAUAAAGUUCAAGAUUAUAGAAUGAAUGAUUUAUAUAUAUUUUAAAUUUUUUAUCAUAAAGUGGAGGACAAAAGUAACAUAUUUUUCAAAUUAUAAUAAAUAGAUAUUUUAAUUUAACAUCGUGAUUUCUCCUAACUAGAGUAGUAAAUACGACCUAGGAGGUACAUUCAAAGCAUUUCAUAAGUUAAUUGUUAAUAAUAAAUGAUACAUGCAGCUCCAAUCAUCAUUUUACGGCGAGUAAUUUCCAGUUAUAAAUAGAUAUUACUCCCUUCCCAGCAAUUUUUGAUGGCAAUUUAUUGGGAUCAAAAUCAACAUUGAAUAGUCAAAAUAUUAAUGGCCAUGAUGCUUAUUCCAAUGUGAGUAGUUCACAGUGGGUACUGCACAUGAUGCUUGUUUCUCCUUUUGCAUCUAUUUUUGUUGUUAACAUUAAUUUCAAUAGCAGCUCGUUAUUAUGUAUACAACAUUUCAAAGUUAAUCCAAAAAAAAAAAGACAAAAAUUAGUUCAGCUGACUAAAUUUGAAAGCAUGGAUUUGCCGUCGAUUAAAAAUCGUUUUGUAGGGAAAAAUUUUGGAUUGCAAUUUUCAUACAAUACAUAGAAUUAUCAUAAUCUAUAAAUUAGGGCUCGUUUGGUAUUGUUUUUGAAUUUAUAUUUUUUGAGAAUAAAAAUGAAAAUGAAAAUGGUGUUUUGCAGUUGCUGUAUUUUGAAUUUAAAUAUGCGUCUGGUAUCAUUUUCUGUAUCCUAUAUUUUAAAACUGAAAACAAUAAUAUGCGUUUGGUAGACACAGUUGAAAAUGAUAAAACAAAAAAUAUGUGUUUGGUAAUACUUUUUUCAAAAACAGUUUUUACUAAGCAUUUACAUUAUAUUUGUAGUCAUAAAAUAAUUAUUUAGCUAAUACAUACAUAAAUACAACAAAAUAAUUUAAACAAAUUUAUUAUUAAAAAAUUACAUGAUGAUAAAGUUUUAAAAUUAACAUUAAUUAAAGAAAAGUUUGAUAAUAAACUGAAAGCAUGCAUGGUAUGAACUAGAGUUAGUGCAAUUUAACAUGAAGCUUGCUCGUGCAAAAUUAUUUUAUAUAGCAUUUGCAGUUUCAAUUUCCAAUUCCAAGGUUCUGAUUCCAUGCUCCCAAACACAACAAUAAAUGUAAAUCCAAUUACACAUCUUCUUGGAACAACUUUUUGUGAAGUAAGUGCCAUUUUUUUUUUUAAGAAUAUUCAUUCUGAAAACACAUUAGACACGGAAUUAGAAAGCUGUUUAACUGCUUUCUAGAAACAAUAUUUGCUCUGCCAAAAGAAAAAAAAAAACUACUUCACAUUGACUCACCAAUCCACUCCUCCACUUUCAAUCAUAAAUUCCACAAUAAUCAAUAAUCAUCAGCACUAGCAGGAAAAUUACAUUACACGUUCAGCAACUCACAUAACAAAGAUUCCCAAGCAAAUUAAAACCCAAUGAAUGCCAAAUUCGAUUGUACGCAAUCCAAAGAUUUGUUGUAUAUACAACAAAACACUUAACUGCAACUGCAUCGAAGAAGGAGAGUGUCCUUCUGAUUGUUAUCCUCUGUUUGUAUAUCCAAAAUUCAUGGCCCCGACGCUUACUUCCUCCAAUUCAUUUCUGCUCAAUACAACACCCCGUUCAAGGCUCAUCGUCAAGAACCCAAGAUUCAGUGUGUUUGCCAAGAAAGUUGGACCGUUCCCUCCAUUUCAGCUUGGCAAGUCGAAGGAUGAGAAUUCAUCUGAUGAAAGCUCAAAUGGUGAUUCCGGCAAUUCCAAUCCUUUUNNNNNNNNNNNNNNNNNNNNNNNNNNNNNNNNNNNNNNNNNNNNNNNNNNNNNNNNNNNNNNNNNNNNNNNNNNNNNNNNNNNNNNNNNNNNNNNNNNNNNNNNNNNNNNNNNNNNNNNNNNNGUUAUAUGGUUGAUUAAGUUGUAACGAUUUGUCCAGCUGGCAUGUUAUGAUUGGAAGAUGAAAUGGUUUGUUAAUUCGGCAGCUUUGAGCUCUGUUUCUGUUAUCAGUUUUCAGUGUAACUAUAAAUAAUAGUCAACACGAUUACAAUGUAUGAUUUUCAGAUUUUAAUCAAUAAGAAUUUCUCUCAGUUAAAGUUCUCUUUCUCUUUCUCUUAUGCCAAACACUCUUAUUAAUUCUAAUAUGGUAUCAGAGCCAUCAACUAUGUCUGGAUCUAAUCAUAUAGCUUCCUCUUCACUCUCAUUUCAUUUUGUUCAACCUGUAAAGCUCGACAGAUCAAACUAUCUAGUUUGGAAGGCUCAAGUGAGAACAUCAAUCAUUGCUAAUGGACUCGAAAGCUUCAUCAAUGGUGAGAAUGUGUGUCCAGAACGCUAUCUCGUGGAAUCAACUCAAGAAUCUCGAAGAUCUGGAGCUGAAGCUUCACAAAAACAAGAAAAUCCAGAUUAUGCUUUAUGGAUGAAAACCGAUAAACUUCUGCAGAGCUGGAUGCUAUCAUCAAUGGUGGAUAACGUUUUAAUCAUGGUGAUCAACUGCGAAACAUCACUUGAGCUCUGGGAGAUGCUUGCCGAAAUCUUCAUGUCACAAUCUAAAGCAAGGUAUCUACCUUUGAAGAUGCAAAUUCAAUCAACAAAGAAAGGAUCACUUUCAGUAAGUGAUUAUUUUAAUAAGAUGAAGAAAAUUGCUGAUAGUUUGGCCAUUGGAGGUAAUCCAGUCACUUCAAAUGAAUUGAUUAUGCAUUUGCUUACUGGAUUGGAUGAUAACUAUGAAUCUUUAGUUACAAAUAUACUUACUAGACUGGAAAAAGAGAAACUCACUAUUGAGGAGGUGUAUUCUAUGAUGCUUAGUCAUGAAACUAGGUUGGAAAUGAACAAAGGAAAAUAUCACAAUGAACCUCAGCAUGAAAUGACAGCAAAUUUUGCUCAGAAAAGUCAAGGAUACAAUAGAUCUGGAUAUAAUCAGAAGAAUACAGGUGCUGGUAAUUCAGGUGGUUAUGAUAACAGUCAGAAUAGCAAUACAGGUCCUGGAAGAGAUGUUGUAUGUCAAAUUUGUUUCAUCCCAGGUCAUGUAGCUUAUAAGUGUAAACACAGGUUCAAUCAGGGCUUUAUUCCUAGAAACAGAGGUUUUGAUGCUUUUAGGCCAAGAGGUGGAGGUCAGAAUUAUAGAGGACCUCCUGGAAAUAAUCAAAAUCGAGCGAAACACAGAGAGAGUGAAAAAAAGAAAAAACGAAACAACGAAGAUGGACAGUUUAUCCGGUUGUGGAAGCGGAGAAAUGAAAGAAAGAGUAAAAGCUGUUAUGGAUCUGGUGAGAAGAUGGAAACAAGGAAAAGGUUUCUAGUUCGAGAACUGAUUGAAUUAAUAUAAGGAAUGAUUUAGAUAAUAGAGGCGAAGGGAACCAAUCAGAAUAACUGAAGUAUUGACCAGCAGAAAGACGGAAAAAAUAUUGACUGGUAAUAGAGAUGGAAAAAAUGAAGAUAUCUUGACACGGUAGAAGUACAAAGGGUAGAUAUGGAACCAAACAGAGACAACAGCAGACCACAACAAGAUUGGGAAUGGACAGAAACUAAU